UCGCUGCUGGCGCGGUGCUUUGCUGGCGCCGUGCGUCCCUACUACUGCUGGGCAUCGCUGAUGGAGUCGCAAGCUCUGGCGAGCGCAGCGUGAGUAGCUGGGUUGUUAUUGGGGGGAUGGAGGAUGACGUGAUGUAGGAAUGCUAGCCACGAUGUACGACAAUCAUGUUUGGUUGGCGGCCGGCAAGUGUCAGCAGCAGCACAGCGCAGCAAACCAUACUAUUAAAGUCAGCAAAGCCGAGUCAGCACUGCUAGGCGCCAACCAAAGAGUGACUGUCGUACUUCGUGUGUCAUGCAUCUGUAACUUUAACACUAGUUUUCCCAUAGCUUACUAAAUGUUUCCCCCUCACCCAUCCGCCCGCUACUGCUUCUGCCCUUCCCCUGUCGCAUCAUCCUUAUGACCGGCUCGUGGCGAGGAGGCGGCGAGGAGGCAUUCCCAUUCUCAGGCGUGGCGACGAGGAGGGUAGGCGGUACGGCGGCUAGACGGCUUGGCGGCAAGGUGGCGAGGCGGCGAGGAGGCAAAGGGGAACUAAAGGGGAACCCCUCUAGUUCUUCAUGUCUGCUUGUAUGUCGAGUUCAUGUGACCGUAGGUGGACUAGCGGGACAUGCGCGGCAGCUUGGCUUUGGCAUUAGGUUUUUCUCAACGACCCUCGUGACGUGGCCGAAAACUACUCAUGCACACAUCUGCUUUUCGGUACGCCCCUUGUGGUGCAGCUCUGGGUUCGACCCCCACGGUGAUCGAAAGGGCCUGGUGGCUGGAGGUUCUCUUGGGGUUGCGUAGGCCCCGGACGCAAGAAAGAAGCAUGGCCCGCGUCCCGAUAUGCAAGCGAAAAGAGGUCGACCGUGCAAAAGUUGUACUUACUUUUCUGCCAUGUGUUUUGACAGCUUGUUCUAUAUCUGGUAUUGCUUUCUAAUUAUUCAGCACGAUAGCAUGGCUUGCCUACUUUUCGGUCCAUGGACGGACCGUGAGCGAACCAUCCAUUUUCCCAGGGACAAGAUGGAUGCAACAUUGUUGCUUUGGUGUUCGAGGUGAUGAAUGUAAGGAAAGGUAAUUCAUUGCCAGAAGCUGCGUUGAUUGUCAGGUUGUGGGAAUCCUAAGGUUUAUCAUGCCUUUAUUGUUCAGAACAAUUUAUUGUAUAUACUUAGUUUUGAUGCAUAUCGCUGCUGUAAGGGAUUUGUAUUCGUUACCGAGUACGUAUGGUUUGGCUUUGAUCGGUACGACUCUGUGUCGUGCAAGGCUUUGCCAGACUAUUUAAGGCAUUCCUACACCAUUAUUUGUAAGCUUAGUAUUCUUCUCUUCCUUGUCUCUCAGUCAGCGAUUGAUGUCGGGCUCUGCAGAUCGGGCAAGUUAGGAACUAAUGCUUCCUCCAGUCGCCAACUGGAGCCAGUUCCUUUCAUAUGGUAUCGAGACCAGGUUCAAUCCUGCCUCGGUCCGUAUUGGAGCUGUUUUCCCAUCGUCACUGCUUUUGCACUUCGCGCCACCGCACGAUCGUUUGUUUGCCGGCCCGUGUUGCCGGUCGUUCACCCGCAUCUCGUAACUACCGGGUUCAUCGCUCUUCGGUACUGACAUUCAGCUUUGUACGCUACUGUUGUGUGCAAGUCGGCUCAAGUCGCUCCACUCCGAGUGUAACAGUUGGUGUCACAACUUGAAAUCGGAGCUCUUUCCUUUUCAGUUGGAUCAGAACGCCUUACCGUCGUUCGACAGUCGGCCAAGUUUGGACACCUUGCGCUGGACUGCAGUUUCACGUUCGUUUCGGGCUCAAGAAUGGGCCAUAUCCGUUUGCUUCUAUCGUUUGCGGAAGCUGACAACCCGCCGUCUACCUCGUUCGUUCAACGUUAAUCGCCGUGCCCUGGUCGCCAGUAUGCCUGCCCGUCGUGUAGGUUGUAUGCGUGCUCGUGUUGCAGCAGCCUCCACGGCAGGAGUGCACCGGGUUGACAGCGACUGGAUGCUUGCGUACCCCACGUUUCACGAGUUCAAUCGUUUUCGUAAUCUUCGUCGUCGAUCCAACGUCACGCUAAAGGCCAUCACAUCUCAUCAUGCCAUGGAGCUCGAUGUUGGCCCUUGUGUCGGUGUGCCCCUGUGUUUUGGCUCAAGUCGACCGGGGCGCCCAGCCGAGUGCUCAAAAGAGACCUACCAUCACCUUCACGAGAUUCUCCGUUCUUACUUUCCUUCGAGUUCUCAUGUGUGCUUAUGUGUGCAGUAGAUGCAAUCAUUCCGGAGCUCACACAGUCAUGCGUUUCAUUUGAGCCAAGCUAUGUUGUCUUUGGGUUUUCCUUAGCUGGAACACCUUGCCUUAUGUGGUUAGCUGUCUGAGUCCCAUAUGUAGUCAUGCCAUGGCAUUGUAUGGGGGUGCAGUUGCCUGAGCAUGCCCACUGUUGUGAUGAAAGCAGUGAGUUGCAGUAUGCAAGGGAACCUUGUGCUUGCGACUGUAAUGGCAACGAGGACGUUGCAGCUUUGAAAGACCGGGGAAAUUUAAGGGAUUUGUGUUCGUUACCGAGUACGUAUGGUUUGGCUUUGAUCGGUACGACUCUGUGUCGUGCAAGGCUUUGCCAGACUAUUUAAGGCAUUCCUACACCAUUAUUUGUAAGCUUAGUAUUCUUCUCUUCCUUGUCUCUCAGUCAGCGAUUGAUGUCGGGCUCUGCAGAUCGGGCAAGUUAGGAACUAAUGCUUCCUCCAGUCGCCAACUGGAGCCAGUUCCUUUCAGCUGCGGUGCAGAUGUGGCCGAUGCAAGGAAAUUGUGUUCGUCACCCAACAACAAUCCGAGGCCCCUGUGAGCUUUGGUACACAUAUAUCAAGAGGCGAAAAUUAUUUCUUCUCAGUUGUGUGUGUGCGACUGUAUGCUGCGGUGCAGUGAGUCCCAUGCCUCGUACACAUUUCAGCGUACGUAAGCAUUUCGGACGCAGUGCAAACCUAUUUUGUUAAAUUCACAUAGGCCUGAUAAUUCUGUAAUUACUUUGAUGCGCUGUGCCAACUAUUGUUGCCAAAUGCGUUCACUGGUGGUUUUCGGCAUGUUUACACUUGCCGCAGGUGAGCUAUUGAUAGGCAAUUAUCAGCCUUAAUGCUGCGAGUUUUAUACGUCAAGCACGUAUGCCUUUUGCCGGGAGCGUUCCGAUGAAAAUGAAUGAGACAUGCUUUACCGUCAGGCGAGCUUCUUGGAAUUACAGCUGGCGUGACACCCUCGUGGAGUCCUAUACGAAAAUGUGACUAGCGACUGGACCCAAUCAGCUGCGGAUCUGAUGCGAAGCCAUGCUCUGAUGUCUGGUCAAUCGGAUGGCCAGUUGCACACGUCGGUCUAUGAGCACACCAGCAGCCAUCCUAACAAGUAUGCAAUCUUAACAUCUCUGAACUGCAGGCGCGCAAUCAGAUCACUUCUCUUGGCUUAGUACAGGACGUUGGCGUUGUCGACAUGUCAGCUCAACUUGCAGCUGCCGCAUGUUACGAAUCACGCGUGGUUCUGCGAAUCUGCGCAAACAGGUAUUUUUGCCUUGUGGCGCAAUAUUCAAGCAACUGCUCCCCAGCGGUCGUGUGCACGCGUGUAUUUGCAUCACAUCGCCCAACCAAGCAGCAAACAGCUCAAAGCCCCAGCCCAGCCCGCAUCUCGUGUGUCGUUGCGCAUUGUGUGUGUUGUGUGUGUGUGAUGCCUGCUGUAAUACAUUUGCCAUAUUGCAUAUUGUCAGGUUAUUGGUCUGACCGUCCUGCUUGCGCCCUGCCUAAUCCCCUCCCUUCCCCCAUUGCGGGGCGCGCCUUGGGCUCGGACAUGCCUGAGUGCGAUGCAUUCCCGGCGAUGGAGGACAUGACAAGGUGAUAUCAUCUUCUUGAUGGGCAUCGUUGGCGAGUAAAGGGCGAUGACUUCAGCUUCGCCCAGAUACAUGUACGGUGGGUUUUAGGGAUCGCAGGGGGACAAUAUCGCAGGGGGACGUGCCGCUUGUCGUACCUUCGUGUGAAGUGCGUAACUGUAAUGUCCUGUCGGGCAUCCUCGUGCAAUCAUGUUUGGUUGGCGACUGGCAAGUCGCAGCAGCAGCAGCAGUAGCAGCAGCACGCCAGCAGCAGCAGCACAGCGCAGCAAAGCAUCUUAGGGAAGUCAGCAAAGCCGAGUCAGCACUGCUAGGCGCCAACCAAAGAGUGACUGUCGUACUUCGUGUGUCAUGCAUCUGUAACUUUAACACUAGUUUUCCCAUAGCUUACUAAAUGCUUCCCCCUCACCCUUCCGCCCGCUACUGCUUCUGCCCUUCCCCCGUCGCAUCAUCCUUAUGACCGGCUCGUGGCGAGGAGGCGGCGAGGAGGCAAUCCCCCGUAAACGGCUACGCGGCUCGGCGGCUCGGCGGCUUGGCGGCUUGGCGCGACGUUGCGACAUACCCGUCGAGAGGAUUCUAUGACACGUAUCGUAUGCUCGUACAGGUGAGCGAAAAGCGGACGGUUAGCGUGUGUACGAUAAUUGCAUCACGUGUUGACCACUGUAAAGCACACUGACUUGGGCACAUGUCCUGCAUGCUUAGCGAGGGUUACACGGUCAAGGUUGGCUGGCGGUCAGCAGCAGCAACAAACCCUGUAGGAAAGAUGGCCUGCCUUUACUGCAGCAGUAGGAAAGACAGAACAGCGCUGCUGACUGCCAGCCACAUGAUCGCUCCGCCCGGAUGUGCGUGCUCUUUGUUUGGAGCCAGCUUUUUGUAUGCGCGAAUUCUCUCCCGUUUGGUUUUUAACGUACUACAUAUUACCGCCCUGUUGUCUCGUCAAUCUGAUUUUGCCAGUUCUCGCCGGUACAUGUCGCAUGUCGCACGUACAUGCGUCAGCUCCACCUCCGCAUUCCCCUUUUUAUUCAAGGUCUGUGGCGUCAGCUUCACCCGGCUGCCUUGACUGCUGCUGCAGCAGGCGGGCAGGGACAUGGAUGGGUCCCUACUGACUGGACUCCGCUACCCUGUUCUGACGGAUUGAAGCAGCGGCCGAAUCACCAGCUCUGUGCAUUAGCUUAAUCGGGCCUGCUGUAAUAAGCUACUGCUUGGCCCCGACAUUGCGGACCAGGAACAGCAGGUGCUUUCAGGGGGAGCAAUGUGCUUCUAAAUACCACCCCCCACCAUCGAGCGCAAGCUUGGCAAAAGGAGUAUUUUGCCGUGCACUGGUCCGUGGCCCAUCCCUGUUGUUUUCAUACCUUUCUCGGCCUUUUGGCUCAGAUCAUGUGUAGUAUCUGUUCUUAUUAGCUCUUUCCGUCGCACUCCUGCGACUUAUUCUAGCCCUGUACGGUCCAGCCGUACACACCAAGGACAUUCAACCGAGUACACGCUCGGCAAAUACACAGAAAACGUAGGUUUUCUUUCGUUUCGCUCAUAAAGCCUACUAGUACAGUUACAGGCGCGAUAUCUGACGCGCAGCUCCACCUCCGCAUUCCCCUUUUUAUUCAAGGUCUGUGGCGUCAGCUUCACCCGGCUGCCUUGACUGCUGCUGCAGCAGGCGGGCAGCUAUAGGGACAUGGAUAGAAGCGGUCUCGAUUCCCAUUGCAGGGAGCUGGCAGCUUCAUGGAGAGGCCUCUCACGGUGCUGUUGAAGUGCCCUUGUGCUUAACUGUAUAAGAUGAUAUGUGUGCCAUAUACUGUUAUACGUAUAACAGUGGUAUACCACAACUUCAGAGACGUACCAAUCGGUGGAUGCAGAUCUCAUGAUAUGCCCGGGGUACUCUACACAUAUUAUGAACAGCUGCUACAUUCAGGACACCCUCAACCUUCUCACGCAUGAUGACUUCUGAUAAGUCAGUGAUUUUUUUCGGGUUCAGCGCCCACCAUCAUCCAGUGGAAUUGCCAGAUCAAUGGUGGUGACAUCUCCAUUCCACUCCACAUACACCGCUCCACUAUUCAACUCCACUCCAAACAGGAUCGGCAUCCAUGCAUCCAUGCAUCCUCUUAUGGUCGAGGAACGUUAUUCUGCUGUUCAUCAAGAUCGACUCUGGAACCUUCCGGGGACACUACACCGCACCUUGAAAACAUAUUUGUUGCAACUAGAGCCGUAUGUUGUAUGUUUAACAGCAGCUUUAUUGCACAUGCAGUUUAUGUACAAGCAAGCAAGAGGCAGAGUGGGUGCUACAUACUGAUGUACCUAUCUGACGGGCAUGCACACCCAGCCAUGCAUGUAUGCAACAGUCCAUUCCAGACAAAGGCAUGCCACCUGCGCAGGUCGCCAAUAUACCCACCUACUUCAUAUGAACCGUGCACACCACGCUGAGUCCAUUGCAUAUAACUGGGCAUCCUAUUAUCGACUCAUCCUUCUAUGUAGCCAUCCAGCAGAUACACGCAUGCCUAUGCACGUAUGAGGGCAUGCAUCCGUACAUGUUCAUAUGAACGUGUACGCUUGGGGAAAUGCAUAUCUGCAGAUUCUGCUAGACGGGGCUACACCAUACCUCCAUGCGGCGAUUGAUACCAACCACGUAAGUGCAGGCAGCUAAUAGAUCGUCAACUAUCCCUCAUUGAAACUUACAAAUUAAAAGGUAAUGAAACCGAGUUGGCGAUGCAGCAUGUCGGAGAGAAAUAUAGGUAAACGGUGCAGCUACUGCCCAGGCAGAAGGUUUGGAGUUUGCUAGGGUCAAAUCCCCCGAGGCAGACUUUGGCCCGACCCAUCAUAGAAAGCUGCCGAACCUGCUGCAUUGUCCAAUCCGCCGGGAAUUCUGAAACUAGUGAUAGGGUAUUGGAGAUGAACUCGCCCCAAGGUAGAGUGUUCCACACCAACGAUUGCUGUGUGAGCAUAUCAACGCUCCGGUGGCGGAACACAGCAUACAUUUGACUGGACUGCAUUCCAGCAUUGCCGACAAGAAUUAGGCCGCCGAGCCGGGCUGUAUUGGCCGUGGCACAACCCUGCAUGUGGCGCCCAAGGUGGGCAUUUGUGAAAGGGAGCGAGGAAAGAAGGGACAGAUAUGAGAUAUGAGGACUUUGCAGAGUCUCGCAGGGACAAACAUUCCAUUUCCUUGUAAAAAUGGGAAGGGGAACUAUUGUAGUUAACUGCCGAAUGCACAUGAGGUAUGAAGGUCUUCACUGCACACCAGUGAAACGCACUGAAACACAAGUGGUAGUGAUUACUGAACUGUUUAAUGCAUAUGUAUGGUUUGCUAGUGAGGUAGGCCUCUCUGUUCCUGGACAGUAAUAUCAGGGUGAACGGGCGAGGUGGUAGCCAGCACGUGUGCUUUGGCAAGCCUGGUUCUUGAUCCUUGAAUGGUUGAUCAUAUGGAUAGAUGGGGUGGUGGUCACAUGAUGGUUGCGAGUGUAAUUAAUAGUUUAUUACAACCUCCAAGAUUAACACAUACACAUAACAAUGUUAACAUAUUCUUACACUGUUAGUAGAAGGAGGAAGCGGUGCGAUGGCAGUCGGUUUUAGUUCAAGUGAAAAGCAGGGCAGUCCAGGUGACAGCAAUCUGCCCUCUACGACGAUGUUGUUUUCCACCUGUAUGUGCAGCGGACGAAAUGUGGUGAUAGAAAAAAUUGGAGUAGGGUGGAGCAUGGAUGGACUAUCCAAGCCUCCAUACACCAUCUGUAGUAGCUGGCCUCUGAAAAAGCUUCCCGAGAUGCUACUGGUAAAGCGCUUUGCGCAUAUUCAUAGUUGUUAUGUGUGCCGUACAGUGUACCAGCUACUACGCCAUCAAGCCAAAUGUCUGCCUGCCAGCUGUAGACACAUCGCCUGGAUGGUACACACUAUUACAUACACGCUGCAAAUUUUCGUUUGUUAUGCCAGAAGACUUUUCACUGUGACCCAUUGUUUAUGCUAACCCUUCGUAUUUUAAAUCUUUUGCUAGCUGUCACAUCUAACCAGUGCUUGGGCGUCAUAGCUAUCGUACGGUACGACACACAUAAAUAAAUACAUCUACAUGCUAAUAAAGCACAUUGUAGUAUCCUGGGCAAAUCACGGGAUAUGCAUCCUCCCAUCGGUACUUUCCUGACGUCGUGAUAUGGCACACAAUCACAGCCUUACAGGUAUGGGGUCACGCACCCCCAACCAUGUAACGCACACACGCACACACACACACACACAUACACACAUACACACACACACACAUACGCACAAUCACAGCCGCUUGCGAGGCCUUUCGGAAUGCAUGUCUCCCUCCUUUACCACAUUGUCGGCCAGCAAGUGUCCCAAAGCAAAUAUUAACUCCUUUGUAUCGCUUUUCAGCUUUUUGUAUCGCUUAGUCCUAGUCGGCGGGAUAUUGAUUAUUCCGCACGCAGAGCACUUGCAGUCCCAGGAUGUGGGCUCGCAUUCCCGGGAUGUGGUCCAUCCAUCAAUUGCGCCGGAAAUAACUUCACUAUUGCUCCCACAUGCAUGGCACCCGCUGCAGCUGUGUGACCCACUUCCUGCUUUGUUUGUUCUUAUCACAUAUCCCUCAAUAGACGUGCUUUGUCGCUGAUUCACAAACUGAAGAAGCAUUUGGCAAAUCGUACGAAAAUCGUGCAAUUCAGGCAUACAGACAGACAGACAGACAAACAUAUAGGCAUACAGACCUGUAUAUCACGUACUCGGAAAGGAUUACUUGGUUCAUCGCUUCUUGAGCAUGACAGGGUAUUGGGGGAUGACUGUUGUUGGUUAGGAUUAAGCAACCCUGCUGGUGGCCGUGCAGCCAGCUGUAUUGCAGAGCAGUCUACCUGACCCCACGCGGGAUUACCAACAGGUGAGCCAGGUGCGGGGCCCACCCCAACCGCCAGCCUCCAGUUUGCUGCGGCGCUUGGGCUGCUGGCGGAAGCAAGGCAACUGAAGCUGCGGCCGGGGGGGAAUAUGUAGUCGAAUACAUCUGACAGGGCGCUGUUGACCGCGUCCAGCAUGCUCUCUGUCUUCCCAGCAGGGAUUUGGGAACAAACGAAAACAUCCGUUGCAUCACAACUCCGCUGUACCCAAUCCUGGGAGAGGCCUCUUGAGUUCACCCUAUCGAUUACAAAUCUGCUGACCGCCUCCAUGAGGGUAGAACUGGAGACUUGGGACCUGCCACAGGUCUCGCUGGUGCUAGGUGGCAAAGAUGAAAUGAACAUCAGACGGAUACAGACCGUCGCUUGGGCUGGGGGUGGGGGGUAUGGCCAUGGAGGUGGUGGGCUGGGCGGCGGGGGUGGGGGUGGCGGAAGAGGAGGACGGGGAGACGGGCGAGGCGGUGGGGGGGGUGGACGGGGAGGUGGGGGAGGUGGUGGAGGGGGCGGUGGCGGCUGAGGCCGCCUUUGGCUCGGGAGCCCAGGGGUUUGGGGCCCAAGGGAGAUACAUGAACUCCGGCGCUGGAUGUUGUGAAAGCACAACCGGCCAUCUUGCGGCAGUGUCACAACGGAAGCGGUGAAGUUGUACGGGGCCGCAGAUCGCGGUGGACACCACUCAGGCAGCAAGUCGUCAACGAAGCGUUGGAGUAGUCCGUUCGCCAGUCGGUUAGAGGUGGUGCCGAUGACGUUUGGUCGGCGGAAAUAUGCACCGCACACAGUCAUGUAAGGGCGCUUCGCUGUGCCUGUAGCUGUCACAUUGCCAGGGUAACACGCCUUCAGUUCAAAUGGCUUUUGAAGGAUAUCACUCCUGCUGUAACUGCUAAUGGCUACACCAGUAAUGUUGUCCAUAGCCAAGGCGAUAGGGGAUGCCGCCUGGCUGCACCGCUCCUCGUCCAGCUCCAACCGAAAUCCAACCAUUUCCAAUGCGGGCGCCAUGACCUCAAUCUUUAUGCAAACCUCGCACACUGAUAGAGGCGGUCCCGCCGUCGGGGACGGCGGCAAUGGUGGUUUCGGGAGUCGUAAUGGAGGCUGGUUGGGUAUUGUUGGAGAGGGUGAUGGCGGUGGCAUGCUAAGGGAUGGGUGUGGCGGCGGUGGUGGGGGCUCCUGUAUCACACACGUUUGGGUGCUAGUGGCGUCGAACAAACAGGAGCGGCGCCCUUCUUGCACGUAGCCCCGUGUCGUGAAGCUGUAACCGUGAGCAGCAUCACCGCAUGCGGGGCCGCCCCCGCUGGCCCCCUUGGCUGUCAGAUACCCCCUGGUAAGGAGAGACAUGGGCACAUCUCCGGGGCUUACGAAGUUGUGGAGCCGCUCUUUGGCCUUGUUGGCCUGGAAGGCUGAUAGGAACGUGCCGCACACUCGCAGGAGCUGCGUUGUGGUGAAGGCCGUCGUGCUGAUGAUGCAGAUGUCAAACCCAAACCCGCUGACGAGUCCACCCUUGGAAAGAUUUUCGAUGCGCAGCUGGUUGUUUAUAUAGUCUGUCACGAUGUCUGCGGCUUUGGAGCAAUUUAGCAAGAAGGUGAUUUGCCCAGCUGGUAAAGUGUGUGGCGGCGCCACGACAAGGAACUCCACGCAGAAUCGGCAAGGACGUGGGGAUUUUUGAAGGACUGCCGGCCGGCCGACGCUUGGGGUAUCGCCAGAAGCAUAGGAAUCUUCCAGAAGCCUUGGUUUACCUGGCUGAUCCACAGCAGCCUGGCGAUGUUCUGUAUACGCAACUGGCUUUAGUAGUCAAGCGAAGAACCGACAACGACGGGGAGUGCGAUGUCUCACCUGACGUCUUGGGCGAUGCCGCUGGGGUAGGCUGCGUAUAUAUUAAGUUUGUUAAUGACUGUUCGCUGCGGACGGGACAGGCAGUACCGAAAGCCCUGCGAGUGGAACAAGUCCGCGCCGUUGGCUGGGUAGAAACUUAGCUGAAACUGAGUCGCAUCCUACCGACGGCAAUCAUGGCAUAAGCUCUCAACUUACAGAAUUAUUAUAGCUUUGAUAAUAUAGAUACUACCCUCGCGCGCAUUGGCACGGAAAGCCCUUCGGCGUUCCAUGUCCUUACUAUUGCGCUACCAUGUCAAAGGCAGGAUGCUCUAUGCUAUAAAACUUGGCAUAAAUAUAGAUUUGUAUUUAUUUUGUGUUGAACUCCGUAUAAAUUAUCUUGGGUAGUGCUAGGGACGCACGGGUUAUCGUUCGCGGCGUUUGCGAGGUAGCAAGAUGGCAUAGCUUUUUUGGGGGUAUUUGUUGAUGAAAUUGUAUGCGUCGCAAAUUGUUUUGUAAUUGUAUAGUGUCUUUACAGGCAACUAUAUGACUGUGAGUAACUCGAUGCGUUUCAAGUCAUGGGCGAUUCAAGCAGAAACAUCGGCACGGGAGAUCGACGAAAAAUACGUACGAGCUUUUGCGGGUGGCAUAACAUCACACGCCUUUAGGCUCCAUCUCAAGAUUGCUCGGCGGACUUCCAGUUCGAACGCGCGCUACAUCGCCAUUCGUGGUUCCUGGCCUGCUAUAUAUGUAAAUCAACACUACAUCCAGGUUUCGGCGUUCAACGAGUGGUAGUAGAAAAACAAUGAACAACUGGCGAACCGCGCGCGCCAUGACACGCCUACUUCAGUAGCAUGCAAAACAUAGCGUCUCCUUGAGCUGCCCGAAGCACAAAUAGGAGCUAUUACCUACAUAGAACCAAAUGGAAGCAAUUGACGGCCUAAGAGUAGUAAAGCAUUUAGUAUUCAAUCUAACCAGGUAUACGCAGGUAGAGGCUCCUCUACCUGGAUCCAAAGGGCAGUCCUCGCCGGCAUUAGCUAUGCGCCCUAAAUAUGCAGGGCAUAUGACAAUCCAAUGACGCCUGAAUCAAAUGACGCUGUUGGUCACCGUCAGCCGGCAGGGCAUGUACCCUCCUUGCUUCCGUUUCCGCAUGUUGCCGCCCAUCUGCUCUUCUUGUCCCCAUUGCGGCUUACCCCGACCACCCUUUGCUUCGGGACAGUUCGUAACCUUGCUUAGUAGCCUUUGGGAGCCUAGUCGUGGAGUCCCUGCUCGCGGCCCUUGCAUCGGUGAGUCGUUACCUCGCUAUAUAGAGAGCAAACAUAUCACGAAUGAUGAUGCUCGUGGAAAUUUGUCUGUUAACUUAUUGGUUGGUAGGAAUGUCCCUAGGGCUGUCUGGUCCCCCCCACCCCCGGGGUCUGCUGCAGAUACCACUUUUACAGCUUAGUAACCCCCUGGCCCAACUCGUCCCCACGCUGCCCCGGCCACCCUGCCCUGCUAACUCACGCACCAUCUCGGAUUCGCCUUUAUGUGCCCCAGCUCGUUCACAAGGUUGUUCACGCCCCUACACGCCUGCAUUUGCACAUGCCCAUGUUCACAUGUUGGGGGCCCAGCCCACCAUGUCGCCUUUACGGAGACACGUAUGCAUGGGUGGCACGCACUGCAACAUUCCCUUGACGCCCAUAUUAUGGGUGAUGAAUGAAUGUGGAAAAACGACGCCAAUCCUGCUGUGUGGCAGGUACUUGCUCGCUGCAAUACCCCCGCACUCGCUCCCAAUCUAUCAGGCCCUUCAUUACCCUAAGUCCUCUCCUAGCCCGCUCCUGAGUAAUCUCGUGCCGUACCAGCGCCUGUACCGCUCUAGUGCGCCUCGGGGGUGUGCAAGGCGCGGUGCAGUGGCGGGUGUUUGGCCUAACUCAAAACCUCGUGAUCUACCGCAUCCGUCGACCUACGCACCCACCACCUUACUGACCACGCUCCACGCACGCUCCCGAAAUAUGUUUGCGGCGGACCAGAUUGUUAUAUGUAUGGGUUGACCGGCUAAGAACAAAGCAGCAAAGAAUGCAUCAGUACAUGCAUGUGCACAUUGCUCUUCCCCCAAGUGCAACUGUACACAGAUGCACGCACACAGAUGCACGCACAUACAGGGAAACAAGCGUUUCCUUCAGGUACACGCACGCAGGAAUAAGCAGCUCCAGGAAGAGGGGAUACAUACAGCCCAUAGCCACACGGGUCGCAACAACAGAAGAAGGAAAAGCAACAGUAACAACAACAACGAUGACGAUGACAACGACGACGCGUCAAAUGCGAACAGAGAGGUCUAUUUAGGUCUCCGCGUUCUGAUGGAGCUACAGCUCCAGCUCCGUACAGCCAGGUGUGUACGGCAUGCCGCAUUGGCGGCUCCAGGGUCGAUAUGCGGAAUAAAAAAUCCCACCGGCAGAAAAACUUCGUCCAAAGUGAAUCCAAAACCAGUGAAAAAAGGUGAGCGAGACAAUGAAAAGAGCGAUGUGAGUGAGCAAGUGAGCAGGUGGGCUCGUGGGCUGGUUGAGCAAUUAGAAGGUCCCCAGGAGGCGCCCCAUAUCAUCCGCCUGUCAGUCAUCCACCAGGUUGAGCGUCGGUCCCAAGCGAGGUACACAGACCGUGACAUUCGCAGCAGCACCUAAUGCAUGUAUGGACAAAGGUCCGAAGAGCCGGCCUCCCAUAGUUGGAAAGGCCAUGGGCGGUCAUGAAGAGCGAGUAAACGAACCAAGGUUCAUCAACACAAUCCUCCGACGGAUCAUCACGAGGGGGAGCCACUAACACAACUUGGCCCCCUUGCUUUAAUCCGAAUUGGUGAUGAGGGAUCUUCAACGUCGCAGAUGGAACCGUAAUCACAUCGCCAUCCACGCCAGCCAUACGUUUUAGCCAUACAUUUUAGCCAUACAUACAUACAUACAUACAUACAUACAUACAUACAUACAUACAUACAUACAUACAUACAUACAUACAUACAUACCCAAAAGUCCUUCCGAUGGUGGAAGGCAUUGCGCCCCUAGUUGAUGGACGGUGGUGACCUGGGAUAAAGUUAACCCGCGAGCCGACCAGGAAUGGAGUUGGGCCGCUGUCGACCCGGCAGAUUCCGUUGGAUGCUGGUGGUGGGUGCGGAACCUGAGCGAUCCACUGAGAAGUUGACUAGGGUGACUGGAUGAGGGUGCCCCGAAAUACCGGGGAAGGCAGGGUUUCGCAGGGUAGCUGCCACGGGCGAAGAUACACCCCCCUGUUUCACACAUCAUACAUACCAAGCAAACGCACGGCCCCACCCUACUACUGCGGCGAAGACACGAAUCCCGUUCCACGCCCGCCGUUACUUGCCGUGCCUCCGUUGAGUCACAUGUGGUGCCGCCAUAACGCCCCCGCCCGGCACAGCCACCACCGCCCAGAGGCACCACCGCGGGGAUGAGGGGGAUGAGGGGGUUGUGGCCCGGUGCGAACAGACGGCCGUAAACAGCCGUUGCAGCUAAGAUAAGAAAAUAAAUCUAGAAAAGCCCCGCCACGCAUGAUUCCAUGCUGAGAGGCAAUAAUGAGGGCGUCAAAAAAUGGUUCAUGAAAACCGACCGACGUUUAGCCUGACGGAUGACGGACACACGCUAAAAAGCCACCCGCAACUGCCGAUCUUUGCAAAGGUGGAUAAUUGCUCACCUGCGCCAGCAACAGGUGAAUAGUUCGCGAGUGGCUACUUGCAGAUUGAGACCCCCGAACCCAAUCCCACCAAACGGCACAAAAUCACAUUCGGAUUCCCGAAUCGACCCCUGCACCGACGGCAAUUCAAUCUUUUUCUUCCCCCCUCCGUAUUGAACCCCAUGCGCCCCCAUCUGCCAAUCCAGUUAUCUUGGCACCACCCCAUGAAUUGCGCACGGCGAUUUAUGUCGUACGUACGAACCAUGCAGUACAUGCUCAGGACGGGUAACUAUUGUCAUGCCGACGCCAAGUUAUCCCUGCUUGCAGGAGAUAUGUAUAUCGGAGUAGGCUGGAAAUCCAAGGCUGGAAAUCCAAUGAAACGCCCGACCACGUGCCGUACAACAAUUCCAAUUCACAAUGGUGUAAGCGUGCGACAGAAGGUCGCUGUGAAUGUCGCAUGUGCGUUUAUCCUCUUCGUAUGGUCCAUGUGUGAGCCGUAUCGGUGAUUAUGUCAGGUAGGGGACCAAGUAAAAACUACUCCUGCACACCUCUGUUAUCGGGUUUCGACCCCGCACACCCCGAGCCGCCGCCCAGCCCAGCCAGAUACGACACAGCGCUUCCUGCCAUGAAUGAGCCGGUAUAGCCGAAAGCCCAACCGUGCAUAUGUAGGCAGCCUACACCUAAGCACGAACCUGAGCACACCUGCAAGUCGUCCGGCGUGUGUGGAAACACCACACAUCACUUGCAAAACACAUCACUUGCACUUACCGCUUUGCGGGCCCCAUCCCUGCAUGCUUUAUUACUCCUCCAUUGCUAUCAUCAGCGCCCUACCUCCAGUCUAUCUACACAAUGCCCUCUUCUUAUUCUUCCGUGUAGAGGCAUUUGGUUCGGUGUUAUCCAUGCAUGUGAUGUGCAUGUGAAAGUUAAUGAAUAUGCACUGAUAACCCGCCAGGGUCCCCCCUAGCUACCUAAUCCACCAGGGCCCAGGGCCGCGUUACCUGCUACCCCCCCUGCUACCCCCUGCUACCCCCCCUGCUACCCUCUGCUACCCCCCCUGCUACCCCCCCCGCACCCCUGCAUUCAAUAAUCAGCUAGUCACCGGGAAGGUGGCUGAAUCCGCCGGGCAGCACGACGCGCUGUAGUACAGGUGUACGAUACACGUAUCACCCAUGCAGAAGUCCCGGAGCAGUUUUGGUUCGAUGUCCAAACACACGCGAGCUCGUCCCACAGCUGACUGGCUCCGGACCUGGUCCACCGUCCACCUCGAUGGGAAGUCCUUGGGGUCCAUCAACUGUUCCAGGACAGCCAGCGUGUCGGGCACGGUGGUGCUGACGUUGCUGCUGCUGCUGCUGUUGUUUGUACUGCUGCUGCCUGGCAGGGUGUUCCAUAGCUUCCAUAUUGAGCUUGAAUUCGCCUGUAUGUCCCCCAGCGCUGUACGGAAGAUUAUGCUUUUGAGGGCUGAUUUCGCGGUGUCACUGGCCCGGAAUAUGAGGCCGGUCAGUCGGGUGGCGUUGCAGGCCUGAGGGGAGGGGAAGUGAGAGGGGAGGGGAGGGGAAGUGAGAGGGGAGGGGAGGGGGGGGCUGACACGGGGAUUCGACUGAGCCCAAGGAGAACACAAAGUGACGCAGCAUAUGUGCGGGAGCCGAACAUAGGAACUCAUUGGGAUCAGGGCCCGCAGCGGUCACGUUCGCAAACCUCCUCCCGCUUCGUUCGCUAAGCCAGCAGUGCACCCGUCAUUGCCAUAGCGUCAGCACUGCAGCCGCAAAAUAUAUCAAGUGCCGAACAUUUUGGUCGAUGGUCGGAUAUACGGCAUUCCAGCUGGCUCGGCGAGGUGCCGUACUCACAUUGGGCGGGGUUGUGCUGCUGUCUGAUGCCACCUCCAGCGCGAAGCAGGGAAUAGAUCGCCCCAGGGCUACUCCCUGAAUGGAGAUGUUGGACUCAAUCUGCAUUCGAACGACGGUGGUGGAUGGGGAAGGGGGAGAGUCGGGAAAGGAGUGACCCUCCGGGACGGCGUGUCUUAUCCAGACAACAAAACAUGUACCACUGGCCCCGCGUCUGCAGGGAUCCACCCCCACCUUGGAUCCUUCCUGACCCCCCCGCCCCCCCGCCCCCCCAACCCCCCCACCUGCACUUCCCGACGCAGCCUCAGUGGUCCAACAGACGACGCGUUGGAGCCGUACACGCACGGCAGGGGGACCAGAGGCCGGGGAGGGGGCGACAUCAACGAUGGCGGCGGCUGGGAGUUUCGUGACGGCGGUGGUGCCGGCGGUAUCAAACAGCUGCUGAAAGUCAAUGCCGUAACUGGCUGAGAGCUAAUCAACGGAUAACUGCCGUACCAUAGAAUGUUUUUACGUGACGCCAGUGGGGCGCCGCUGUCGUUGCAGAGCUUCUUGACAAUACUUGGUAGGACAAUUCCCAGCAUCUCGCUCAAGUCCGCAAAGUUGCUGGUUGUGUUGACGCUCGUGCAAAAGAUGAUAUCCGUAGAGGUGCAGACCUGUUGGGACCAGUCCAACUUCAGGUUGUUGCUGUUGGCGGCAUCCUUGAUUUUGUACAUCAGCUGCAGCUGGAAGGAGACUCUGGCCUCCUGUGGGCACGAGCUCCCGCUGGGGUUCCCCAUCUGCAGGCCCACACACAAGGACGGUAUUGGUGGUGGCGGAGAGGAGGGGCUGCGGGGCAUUGCCAUCGUAGCCGAAGCCGCGGCCACCCCCCCUUUCGCCGCCAUAAUAACCGUCGUACCCGCGGCCGCAGUCGACGCCGCCGCCAACCCGAGUGUGGUCGCCGUCUGACUCGAUUCCGCUGAUGUAGCCGCCGCCGCCGCCGUCGCCGUCGCCGUCAUGACUGUUGUUGCCGCCGCCGCCACUACACACUGCCGCUGCACUUCCUUAAAACCGAUGCAAGAUGAGUCGCUGCCAUCGCUGCCCCCAGAUACAGGUUGCCCGUAUGCCCUCAACGUGUAUCCUGCCAGCUGGCCCCCGCGUGACUCGCAGGCUGACGACCCCGAGGCCUCAGAGGUUGAGAGCACCCGGGCUGGAAGGCCCAUCAGCAACUCCUGGAGGAAAUCACCUAGCCGGAAGCUCCACACCGCCACCGCUCGAGAAUCAACCCCUUCCGGAUUGUUGUAUGAACCGCACACACGCAAGGAAGACGCAUCACAGCUCUCCAAGCGAAACUGCUGUCGCAGCGUAAUACCUGGGGCAGAGGCGUUGGCGUUGCCAUUAUCCAAACUGCCGUGGCUGUAGCCGUCGUCAUCAUAGUAGUUGUAAUUGUAAUAGUCAGUGCGCGAUGGAAUGCCAUUCAGGAAAGUGGCGAUCCGGCUCGCCAGGUCAUCGCAACUCUGACGACUCAGGGAGGGCGGGUCUGGCCGCAAUGCGCUACGGCCGCGCAGCAGCAGCUGCCCCAGUGGCGGAGGCGACGGCGACGGCGGCGGCGGCGGUAUCACCUCCACAUGGAUGCACACCGAGCACGGCGUAGAAGAGGAACCAGCGGGUGCUGGCGACGAGGCGGUUGACAUGGAAGAUGGCAGAAGUGGCAAAGGUGAGGGCGACAAUUUUGCCGACAACAACCGCCGCGGUGCGCCCGGCAAAAUGUUUGCCCCUAGCACAGCCAUCCGCCGCUGCUGCUGCUGCGGCGGCGGUGGCGGCGGCGGCGGCUGUAGCACAAGCUUUCGCUGCUGAGGCUGUGUCCUCUGCCUUGCCAAAAAGCGAGACGGCAGAAGCAUGCAGAAACGCCAGGACGACGGCGAUGUGGAUCGCUUCGACAGCGAGCUGUCGUGACCGGGAAGGAUACCGACGGGCCUCCUCGCUGCCACGGAAACGGCAGCUGUAGCAGAGCGCAGACCGGCACGGAGGUAGUAGGUACCGGCAGUAGUUAUAGCUGCAACGACGUGGCGGGGAGCUCCUCUGUAUGCUGAGAAUUUCAGGUGCCGCCCGUUGGAGGGGAGGGCGGAGUGGGACGGUGUCUGUGGAAAUGAUUGCGCGGGUAAGGGGAUCGGGAGAGAAAGGGAAAGCGGUAGUAGCGGUGGCGUUGGUGGGGUGGUUCUGGAUCGCGCUGGAGUCGGCACAGCUGCGAUCACUAAGGAGCACCAGGAGCCAGACUCGUUAGAGAGGCGCGCGGUGCAUAAGGCCCCUAGCGCCUGCUGCUGGUGCUGAUUUCGCUGGUGGCGAAGCUGCGACGAGGGCGGUUCACACCAGCCCUCGGGCGUAUCGCUGCAAGUGCCGCGGGUUUGCACCGCGAGACACACACGCGACCCAGUUGCAUUUGAGGACUUCAGGUUUAGACCCGACAGCAGCAGCUGCCCGCGGUGGGAGUCGGCCGGGCCAUUGCGAUACGACACUGGCACCGCGAUGGACCCCGGCCGACCAGGUACAUACAGCACCGCCGCCAACCUGCUCCUUGAAUUAAAACAUUCUGAUCCUGCAAGUUUAAUUAUGUAAGUAGGUACGUUGCGAUAUAGUUGACAGUGUGGAUUAGCAGCCAAGUAAAGGAAUGUUGCGCGACGCUUUUUGUAAUGUGCUCGGCGCUCGUGUACGCCCCAAACGAACCAACGCCAGUGGCACCAAAUUGGAGUGAGUGAGCUGUAGACAAGUUGGGUGUCGGCUUCAAGGAAGCCGGAAAAAGGGCGGGGCCCCUCUGCAUCCGUACAGGCCGGUAGCAAGGGUGGCAAGGGUGACAAUUGAUGGGUAGUGUCAACGCGGUGGGAGAUAUGCUUUGUUGCAGCAGUGCUGAUGGUGUGAGAGCUAAGCUUGCACUGGCGGAAUCGUCAGCACCGCCUGCGGGCUCCACGCGAACCGCAUCCAUUCCGGGUGCAUGCCGCAUGGACAGUGCGGCAGACCGCAAGUCGGAAUGCCCGUGCGGGCAAUGGUUACGAAAGCUGGGGUGAUUUCGGUGCUGUCUGUGAUGUUUAUCCCCCGAACGCCAGCGGCCUCAGCAAUCUGCCCCACAGCCGCGGGGUUCAUCGGGGCACACCGCAAGUCUCAGGAGGGCCCCGUGCAUUGGCCAAAGUAAAUGUACAAACAAGGAGCUUGUGUAUUUCAUAGAGAAAUGAAAGCAAAUUAUGUUGGCCUGCUGGUGGCAAGUCGGAUUGCCCAUGCCGGCAAAUGGUAACACAAGCUGGGUGUUCGAGUUAUCAUACGCCGUCAUCUCAGAAUUCCAUUGUGAGAUACGCGGCAGCUUUUGGGAUGAAAUUUAGCGCGAGAGGCGUUGAUGUGGCUUUUGAGGUCGGUGAAUGGAGGCAGCUAAACUUGUUUGUGCUCAUACGGUCUUUGUUAGCUACAUGCGAGAUACCUUGCAAUAGAGAAUGCUGUAUAGUACCGAUAACGCGUUUCAGCCGGGUGAAAUAUUCUGUUUGGUCCGUUACACACUCAAGGCCUGGGAGUUCGAGUUAUCAUACGCCGUCAUCUAAGAAUUCAAAUAUGAGAUACGCGGUACCUUUUGAGAUGAAAUUUAGCGCGAGAGGCGUUGAUGUGACUUUGGCCUCGGUCAAUUGAGGCAGCCAAACUUGUUUGUGCUCAUACGAUUUUUGUUGGCUACAUGCGAGAUACCUUGCAAUAGAGAAUGCUGUAUAGUACCUAUAACGCGUUUCAGCCGGGCGAGAUAUUAUGUUUGGUCCGUUACACACACACACACACACACACACACACACACACACACACACACACACGGACAUGGGCAAUCCUACAGGUCGGGGCCCCCCUGGGCGCUUCGCGCUGGGGCCCCGCCCAAAAAGGUUUUUACUUACGUACUGAAAUCGAUAUGCUCGAAAGCGUGGCAGACUGGCAUUGUAUGCCCGCACAGCGAUUUGAGUCGGCGAAGACGAGGAGACAAAAGUUAUCCGCGCGUUGCUGGUCCGAGUAAAACCCAAGCCGAUACAUUCCUGAUUGGCAUUUCAGUCCGCUUGAAGAAGCUGUCGACGAACUGCAGAAAACAAUGCGGCCAGAGGGCUUGCCAAUUCUGGCGCGAACAUUGGACAGGAUGAUUCCCCGUACCUAUGAUGACAGUGCAGACAACUUACAAUAUCGUGGCUAAUGCUACUAACAAGUAUUGAGCCUUGGCUGCCGCUCGGGCUCCAAGUCCGUGACAAGUGAGUCUAGGCAUGAGUUAUACUCUUUCCCGUUUCACAGCGAUAAAACAUUCGUUCAAUAUUCAAUUUAUAGCUGUUAAUGAACAAGAGGUUUGCAGCGCUUCUAGGAGGCAAAACCAUAGCGUCUGUUGAAGCGGUGUAUUACGUACGGAUUCAAAUUGCCUUAGACUGUAUGGGCCAAAGAGAUGGAAUCCAUCUACUUGGCAGAUCAAAAGUACUUCCAUAUGGACUGUGGCCAAAUGUGGGCAAGCAAGAGUUCUAUUGGGGACUCAGCCGCGGGAGUACGGUUACAUGCUAAUGGCACCGUCCGCCGCGCAGGAGGCAGGAGAGCGCACGUGGAUUAAGUCUGCUUCAUAACUUCACAAACUUCAGAGCACAAACUAUGUCUCAUUUGUUGACUUUAAAAUUUGGGCAAAAAUGGCAUCGAUUUCCUUCAGCUAGGCAACUUAAUGCAGCUUAAUGGUUGGCGGUUGGCGGGGACAGCUUUUGAUUUGACCCAAAACAGACUGGAGACGUCCUAAACAAAUGCCACAAAACCCAUUUGACAUCUAAUUAGGCUAUUAUCAACCCUAAACAUAGCUGAUAUGAAAACCUACCUCCUUUACCUACCUCCGUACCCUUGCACAUAUGCGCCAAUGGGUUCAAUCUUUAUGCGUCUCCUUUGCCAUAAACAACAUUAUCACAUCGCAUAUCUGGCGAUUCUAUAGUUUCCUCUGAGCACCAACACGUCGAAGUUUGGAAUGCCGGGCGCAGGCUUUCCUUAAGCUGCACUUAUCAUUACCCAUGUUAUUGUAGAUUUUACAUUUCACAUAAAUUAAGCUCUCAGUUAUGCAGUGCUUCUAGGCGGCAGGGAGGGACAGGGUCUGGUUGAGCAGGAUUUGAAUGCUUUUGUAGGAUUGAGUCGGACACUGAAGUGCGACGGCAAAAGAAGCUUAACACGCAAAACAAGUCGUACCGAGCUUUGAAAAUCACGUUAUCAACUGCUUCACAGAGGGUAUCGGAGAACUCGUCCGGGUGGGAAGAAGCGAACGGGACUGGUGGGUCUUGGUAGGUAGUUGCGCACACGUCCGCACACCAUCACCGCCGUCAGCUGGUACGUCAAGGCUCUCUAGGACGUCACACUCGGCUUAACCGCAGUAUAUCUUCACGGACGAUUCAAUCGCUUUUCCGGACCAGUCUUUCCUAAGGGCUAUGUUGUGCCCACAAUCCAUCCGUGUGACAUUUUCCUGUCCGCGACAGGUAUACGUCCCGGAAACCACAAGCCCGUGACAUGCAUGCAACUCCUGUCGAAUUGCACAUAUGUGUGCUUGAAUUGGCUUGUUGGCUGCAGCACGAUUGCGCAGUAGACCGAGGAGGGCUGGCUGGCAGGUGGAUGGAGGAGACCACAGGGCGCGACCACAAGCAGCCGACCAGCAUACGACCGCCUACCCGUGGGUAGCUGGAACUGCCCUCUACCUGCAGCCGCCCGUUUCCGGGUGCCAGGUUCGCACUCACUAUUGCUGUGGCCCCUCCUGCUUUGACACGCCGGAGUAGACCGCCGGUGGCCGGUUUGGCCUCGGCCCACUGCUGGGUGGAGGCGUAGGCUUGUCACCAGGUGCGGCAUGAGCUCGUGAGUGUGCGUGCCUUUUAAGACGAGGCUGCAAAAGGGAAGAAGGAAGGAAAGCAAGGGAAUGGUGAAGGUGGUGGACGACUGCAUGAGGUCAAAAAGCUGUGGGGGGCCCAACCGCCGUAACGAAAUUAACAAGAACUUAGCGAGGGUGGGAGGGUGGGAGGUCCUUCUUCAUAAUCUUCAAGUAGAAAGUAAGGAUAUUAAUAGAAUGACCUGCAAUCAUUUGCCAUUUCUCUGUCACUUUGAACUACAUGAAAAUCAAGGCCAGUUUAAUGUGGGAGGGUGGGAGGGAGGAAGGAAGGAAGGUAAGGGGAAGAAACGUUUUGGGACAGGGACGCAAGGAAUAGCGGGGAGAUGGGGUCCCGACUGCAAAAGCCCAGACACAACACCACUGUCAAUCAAAACCGUCGGAUUUGGACACACCAUCACCAUCACAUCCACCACUUGGAAGCAUGCAUAUUGUCGAAAGGUGGCCUGAGAAAAGUCGCACCGAUCACGUUAGGCUCAAAAACAGCCAUGCAGUAGUCAGUACCUUUACACAGAAUCCAUAAAUGUGCCGUACCCUGCGGAAUCCGUACUCUGCCUGAUGUCGUAGAUGUCCACAGGCUCUGACAGCAUCCAUCGGCGCCAUGAGAGCGGACCCCUGACGUACCCCGCUUGCUGUAAUGGUAUCUCCCCUUGGCGGCUCCAGGGUUCAGAUUUAGACAAUCGGAGAGCCGCUCCAAGAAGAGUAGACGUAGUUGUAGUUGAAGUGGAGUAAUCCUUACGUGAUUGAGAUGUCGUGGUAAGGUCAGCCGCAGGCUGCCAUGAAUGAGACGCAGUCCUGCUCCGCUGUCGAGCGGAAUGGUUAUCAAAACCGUUCGACCGUCAAUCAGUGACGGGCCGAAGUCCCUUCGUCAAUCACGACCGUUGAACCCUAGCCUGCCUAGCCAUUUUGAAUGAAUCCUUCUCGGACGUGACACUUCGCAUGUCACUCAUGCGUUACCACAACACUUGCCUGCCUGCUUGCUUGCUUCGCCGGCUAUAGGGGCUGUGCCGACUUACAUGCCCACCAGGCGAAUGACGGGGAAACCGAAACACUCAACCCAUCGUGCAACCCACCCGCCGGAUGCUGCACACAUCCAAACAUGAGGAAGGCACAUAAGAGGGGGGAGGCACGCGCAUGCGUGUGCUCUCGUGCCAUGUCCGGGCGGGGUCACCUCAAUCUGUGUCCGUUCGUCUUUCUCUUCCCACGUCCUCCCCGUACGCCCGUUAUGAAUACAUAAAAGGAAUUAGCAAAAGGAAUUUCGUCAUAGCUUUUAUGAAAAUAAUCAGAACGGUAUCGUUAGUACGGUAAGCAAUGAACAAAAAUAUAUUGUAAAACUGCUGCCGGGUAAUCCACAGCCAUGUCAAGAACUGCUUUUUCUACCGCGGGCGGCCAUUCAGCCUAGCUAGUGCAGAUGAGAUCUGCCGAGUAGAGGGGAGUCGAGGGGGGACAGAGGGCUGCAUGGCGAUCGAGUGAACGAUGGUGUGUCCUGAUAAGGCCCUCUCCUCCGAGGGACUCCAGGGAGAUCUCAUACCAGAAGAUGCAAGAGCGCAGCUGCACGACGUGAUUGGGUGUUGCGGAGGGACUGGUUACUGAUGGUGAAGCGCGUGGAAAAAGGUGAGGACGCCAAGAAUGGGGGCUACUUAUCUGUCGACUGGGUCUUCAAUGGCCACCACGGACAGGCAGGGUUUGACAAAUGGAGUUUGCUUUAGGAAAGGGCCAGGCCCAGGGCCCAUUCGAAGUCAAGGCAAAUGCACGUCAGCAAGAAUGUUUUUCGAGCUUUGUGCGGCUACAAGCCUAAAGCUUCAAGCAGCUAUCAGCGGACGGGCCUAUUCAGGUCCUUCGAAGCUGGAUCCAUCGCUUUGACCCAUGGGCCCUGAAUAACUGAAACCCAUGCGCCGUACAAACAGAAAGCCCAGAUGCGUUUUGUCAGCAGGAGACGACUUACCUCGUUUCAUGGCAAUCGUAUCUUUCCAUGGGUUUUACAAUCGCUCUUAAAUCUUAGUAGUUACAGCUCGUCACGUUGACCACCUUAGCUUGGAACCUUGGCAUUUUAUGAGGAUUCCAUGAAUUUAGGGUAACCGCCUGAUCCAAUGCUGGGCGUUACGUUUACAAGCAGGGCGGUGCUUGACGACGGCGAGGCGCGAAGGAAGAAAGACAAGAAGGUGUGUUGCCGACUGCCCCGCGCUAUCUUAUUCUAAAGGGAUUUAAAGAACUACUAGGGCAUGAUUAUGAUGUUGUUCAGGAAAAGAAAAAGAAGAAGGAAAAGCGGAGUAAGAAAGAGAAACGCGAAAAGAGGGCAGCAAGUAAGUUAUUGACCAAUUUUCGUUGCGGUGCUUGGAAUUCUUGCCAUGACUGUUGUCUUUUAAUUCAGGCAACAGCUCUGGCGAAAGCGGUUCCGACGAUGACCAAGGUAACCGUGGACGCAACCCGGGCGAUUCGACAGAUGAAGGCCAGGACGCAGCAGCAAACGUUGGAAGCAAAACGGCGGCGCAAGGUGUGUGCCUGAUGGGGCUAGCGGACCAAAGGAGCUCGGGUGGGGGGUUUAACCGGCGGCGAAUGGGCAUCUGCCCUAGCCACUUCCCUGCUGUGGUCUUCUGCGGUGGUGGUAAUUGGCUCACUGUCAAUCAUCAUGACCAAUUUAGCUGCGCCACCAGCCUCUUUUCAGUGUGGUCGUGGCCGUGGUCAAGACGCCGGUGUUGGCCAUAUCCUUCCCCUCUUCGUCGCCCUUCCUGUGUCAACCAGCCGUCUUCCGGUAGCCCCCCCCCCCCGUCCACCAUUCCCAUAGUCAGUUCCAACAAGUGUUUGGUACCGCGUUGCAAUGGCCAUAAAUGCACAACCGACAAGCAGACACCUAAUUGUCGAGCCGAGCCAAACCUCUCCCUUCCUUCCCACUCCAUUGCCUCUGGAUCCAACUCCGCGGUCCCCCUCCGGACAUACAUCCCCCCAACCCCAGCUCCGCCAGCCGAAGGCCCUCCACCCCUACAGCGGGAGGACUGGAUGACCAAGCCCAUGAAGCGCGAGCCCACCAAAGCUGAACAACAGCAUCAGGAGGAGGAGGCGGAGGAGGAGGAGCGGCGGAAGCAGGUGUCCCGUGUGGGGGUGAAACGUGACGCAGCCGUGGGGGGGGCCGGAGGAUGGACAUGACAGGGCCUCAAGAGUUGCCUGCACGCUAAGGCCUGCGCACUAAGGGGAGUGGUUUAGGGGCGUGGUGGGGGGCGCCUGAGGAAGGCCACGGCUGGGGCUGUGCGGUGCGGACCGGGAGUGUAAGCGCGUCCAUGGAGGCUGUCGUCUAUUACUGAAAUGCGGUUACUGACUGCUAGCUACUGCUGCUACUGCUGCUGCUGCUGCUGCCCGUGACAGCGGUGACAGCGGGGGGAGACGUGAGGGGCCCGGAGGAUAAGGAGGGUUUAAACCCGGAAAUGCAUACACAUGCACUCGCACCUGAGAAAUUGGGACAGAGGGCGGCACAUGGACGGCAAUACAUCGGGGGCGAUAUCGGGCAGACGGGGGAUUGUCUCGGAUUGAGAAGAGAAGAGCAGGGUUGAGAGAAGGGAGGCAUGGAACUGGGGCGCGACUCGGGGUUGAGGGUGGAAUGUCGAGCCCUCGGAUUGCCGUCGCAAUCGGCAUGCAGCUGCCUGCGUGUCGUCCUCUCACACCUUGCCCGGUCGGGUUCGAAUCCAGGCAGCACCGGCCGGGUCCGAAGUCGUGGCGGGCUUGAGGAUUAUGAAGACGACUGACUCAGCGGCGCCGGAGGCAGCAGCCGCGGCCGCGGGGAUGGCUACAGCUCCAGCAAGCGGUGGUGGUGGUGGCGGCGGCGGCGGCGGGCUUGUUGGCGACGGCGGAGCCAGUUGGCGGUUGAAGGCGCUUCGUAGGGCGCAGGAGCAAGCCCGGGCUGAGGGUCGCAGCUUACAGGAGGUGGGGGUGCUUGGAGGGCAGGGGGGGCCCCUUCACGGGUGAGGGGAGUGGCGUGCUAAAGGGGGUGCGGGGAAGGGAACGCGCAAACCCGGGUGAGGGGCGGGAAAGGAGCGUACGGGGAUGGACCGACGAAGUGCGGACACUCAUGUCGCAGGAGUUAUGUUCCAUGUGGAGGGGAGGGCUGGGGGGGUCCGCAUCGGGGGCGGAGGGAGAGGAGAGAAAUGUGGACACGAAAAAGAGGGUGACCCUCAGGGGGGCAAAGCUGCACCUACCAGCAGUCUGACUGGGUCCAGGGACCUUUCCUGCCGCAUGACCUUUUCCUUGCACACGCCUGGCCUGGGACACAUGCAUGUGUGUGUGCGUGUGUGUGUGUGUGUGUGCAGCUCGCUGUCAGGUUCUUCACUCCAGGCCACAUCCCCCGGGUCCCCGCUCCCACGUAUAAGGGAAAACCUACCACGACAGCCCCCUUACCCCCCCCCCCCGCCCUGGCAGCACAUUCACUCGUUCGUGGUUCGUCUUUCCCCCCCCUGACGUCCUCCCCCACGUUCCCUCCCCACGUCUUAGGCACUACGGGGCUGCAUGCACAUGCCCCUAGUGCGCGCAGGUUGGCGGGAGCCACGGGUGGCCCCGGCCCGCGCACUUGCGCUUCUCUUCCUACCAACUCCCUCUCCUCCCUUGGGCCUUUCUUUUGCGUUGGAAAGAACGUUCGCGUUUGCGUUCUUUCCAACCCACUUCUCCAUUUCUACCUUCUUUGCGUUGUGCCGGCGUACACGUCGUCCAAUGCGUCAUCCCGUCCAAUGCGUCAUUCCGUCAUCCCGUACGACACCUUCUGUGUCGUCCUGCGCCGCCUUUGCAAUUGUUUUUUAGUUCCUGCGUUUUUCUUCCGUUUUCAUAUAGGUCCAGCUUCCCCGGUCAGCCAGUUUAAUACUCCCUUUCAGCAGCAUUUGCAUGCGUUUUUGUAUUUAUCGUUCGCUGCUCACAACUCUCCCACCUCUCUGCCUCGCAUGUGUCUUUGCCCGCUGCUUCUGCUGCCUGGCCAGGUGAGUCCAAAGGGUGGUUAGAGCUUCUUCGGUAUAUCGCGUUGGCGUCGGUCGGCUAGCCGGACUAGGAUAGUCGGGUCGGUCGGGUCGGUCGCGCGUUUUAGUUUGGGGGGUUGGGAGGAGCACUUGCAUACCGACAGCCUUUCAGUACCAGCAAAUCAGCUAAUUCUCCAGGCCAGCAACUUUAUGCCAGCUUUACGACAGCACUGCUUUACUACUUUUCCGCCGCCUUCACACCACCUACUUUUCUACACCUACUUCUUUACGGCAUGGCAAUACUAUUUCUGCUGCUUUUUUAGUCCUGGCGGCUUAGGUAGGUAGUCUUUCCGACAUCUUCUUCACUUCGUCAUCCCGAGCUCGCGGUCUUCACGGACGCCUUUCGGUCAGUUCUACGUUUGAUACUCUCUUGCCCUGGCAGCAGCUUCACUCGUGUGUGGUUCGUCUUUCCCCCCCCGGGCCCGCAGGUGGUGGGUGAGCGGUGGGGCUCCCUGGCGCAACUCACCGGGGCGCUCACCAGCAGUGCGGCGGCGGAUGGUGGGUGGGGAAGGGGGGGGCAGCAGCAGCAGCUGGGGAGGGAAGAGGGCAGUGGUGGCAUAGCGAUGGGGUGGUAGUGGCAUAGCGAUGGGUGGGGGAAGUGUGGUAAGGAGAUAUGGGGUGGUCAUUUGGAGGGGGAGAGGUUUGGGAGAGGGCAGAUCACAGCACGCACUUCAGACCGGCUAAUGCUGCUGCUAUUGCCACCUGCUGCUGCUGGUGAUGAUGGUGGUCAGGAUCAGGAACUGGGUCAUUGGGGGCGGGCACAGGAUCUCCAGCACCAGCACCUGACCCUCGCAUGGUCUUGUACAGCGGACUUGCACUGCCGUAUCAUCCUGUUUCUCAUGUGCUCUCCACACCCGCCCUCCGUGCGCCGGUGCACGGCUGGUUGUUGUUGUCUGUUGCCCGAACAGGCAAGGCGCAUCUGCGGCCAGCGGCGGAGCGCAGACGCGCGGCGGCGGCGGCGGGGGGGGAGGGCGCCCAGCCCGUGGUGCCGCACUACCUGCAGGUGAGUACGAACGGUUCCGGUCGUACGUACUCCCGUAUCUGAAUGUCGCGGCCAGACAGUGGCCAGGCAUUAAAUACUCUCGUACACUUUCGCAACCAUUGGGUUGUUAAGGGAGGGAAGGUGGACCCGGUGUGUGUCAUGAAGACUCCAACAAAGGACACAGCUCCCUGAGGAGAGAGCCCUCCCUGGUCUAGUCCUUCCCCUUGGCCCGGACCCGCCUCGCUGGGGUCCUGAUUAGGCACUGGUACCUGGCCACCACGUCCACCGGUGCUGCUGGGCAGUGUCAGUUGCCACUCCCCACAGGAUCAAAUACUACUGUUACUGCUACUGCCCCACUACUACUACCCCACUAUUGCUACUGUCCCACUACUGCUACUGCCCCACUACUGCUACUGCCCCAUUACUACUGUCCCACUACUACUGCCCCACUACUACUACUGCGCCACUGCUACUGCCCCACUGCUACUGCCCCACUGCUACUGCCCCACGACUACUGUCCCACUGCUACUGCCCCACGACUACUGCCCCACUGCUACUGCGUCAGGACGUGCGGGGCGAUGGUGCCAGGACCAAGAUGUUGCGGCCCUCCGAGGACACCGGCUCCCUCAGCUGGAGGCGGGAUAGGGCCAGGGACAGGGACACAGAGCGACCGGGGGCGGGGGCGGGGGAGGGGGACAGGAACCUCUCGGACAAGGGACAACGGGAACGGGACCUCGAGCGGCACGAGGACAGCGACAAAAAAGACGAGCGGGGGAGGGGGAGAGGAGAGCGGGAACCAUCAGCAGGAGCAACAGGAGGAGAAGGAGCAGGAGGAGGGGGGCCCGACCGGGGGGCCCAACGGCAAGGGAGCCGCGAGGGGCGGAUGGACGACCCGGGGGGGUCCGGUUGCCGCCAUGACGGCCGUUACGGCGACCGAGGGUUUCAUAACCCUAGGGUUUCGGAGCGACGGCCCGGGGUCGGAAGUGAUCACCCGGAGGACGUGAAGGCGCCCUGGCGGGAGCGAGAUCGGGAUUGGGACUACUCGGAUCGCGAGCGAGGACGGGCGCGGGAGCGGGAGCGGGCGCGAGAGCGGUCCGGGGGACCUGAUGGCGCGGCCCGAGGUGGAGGUGGUGGACCUCCACGGGGGGCCGCGAGCCGCCCCUCCAAGGAGCAGGCAGCUGCACUACAGCAGGUAAAGCAGGAGAGUGCCGUACUCCGUACAACUGUGUUUUGCCGGGCUUCGCGGAGCCCCACUGAUCUCCCCAACCCCUUUUGAGACCCCCUUGCGGUGGCCCCUCCCUCCCAAACGCCUCCAUUCUGUCCCCCCCCCCUUUACACGCACACACCGACAGCUGGCUGGGUCCCUCAACUCCUUCACCAAUGACGGCUCCUUCCUGGAGCGGUUUAUGUCCGUACAUCAAUUGAGGGGCAAAGAGGAGGGAAAGCAGGUACGUGGGGGAGAGUGUGUAUGUGUGUGUGUUUCGUAACGGCCACCCGACACGACCGGUACUGUCCGGCACUAGGGGCCAAGUGUUCAUGGCCACAAUAGGCAGCAAGCGGAGGUAGGGCCCCUAAAGCCGUGUUUGUAUGUGUGUAUGUAUGUGCUCGUGUGCCUAUGGAUGUGUCUAUGCAUGUAUGCGUGCAAUUGUGCUGGCGCGCGCGGAAAUGCGGUCUGUCUGUCUGUCUGUCUGCAUAUCUACCUGCUGGGCCGGUGGUCGCCCUUCCACCUAAAACCCGCAACCCCCCAAACCCCAAACCCCAUACCCGGCAGGGGGUGGAGGAUGCGGGCCCGGGUCCCGGCCCCACCAGCAGCCCUGAGGAAUGGAGGGGGGCAGCUGUAGCUGCACCAGCUGUGGCAGCGGCCCCGGGGGAAAGAGGAGGGGGAGGAGGGGGCGGUGUUGGUAACCGGGGGGUUGCGGCGGUGCCCCCUGCGGGUGGUGGUGCGGAUGCGGGGGCGGGGGCUGGAGGGCAUGGCCGCGGCGGGGGGCGGGAGCCGGGAGCUGUCUCCAACCGCCGGCUGCAUGAGGACGAGGGUGACGAAGAUGAGGAUGAGGAUGGAGGUGACCGGGGGCCUCCGACUGCAGCUGCAUCCAGGUACGGGGUAGUGGGGGGUCGGGGUGGGGUGGGGUGGGGUGGGAGGGGGUUGAGGAGUAAUCAGCCGCCUCGUGGCUCGUUAGUCCCGGCCAGCCUGGCCCCAGGCCGGGCCGCACUCACCUCCCGACAUGCACGCAACAACGUGUUACCACCACCACCACCACCACCACGAGCACCUAAUCCUUCAGGUUUCUUAUUGCCCAAUAAGGGUGGAGGGGCUUUCGGUGGGGAUGGAUGGCACCGUGUGGUGCUGCACUGCUGCUGCCGCUGUUGUUGUUGUGAGGGGCGACACAGUACCAGGAGUGGGCGACCCGCCCCACCUCACAACAGACUCUCAACACGACUACCCACCCACACACCAUAGCUUUCGCCUUCCCCCCUCCCUUGCAAACACACACACAUGCGUACAUACAUACACACAUACACACACUGUGCAGGCGGGCGCCGCUAUUCGUGGGUAGCGGAGACCCCCCCGAACCCCCCGGUGGGGUUACGGGGGGUGGGGGCAACAAGUCAGCUGCUGAGCUGCUACGCGCCCGACUCAAGGGGCUCCCAGCGCCCUCCCCCCCACCAGCUGCCCCCUCUCCCGCAGUGAAGCCGGAUCCGGAUGGCGGAGAAGGUGGGCUGGACCAGGGUGGGGUGGGGGGAUAAGGACUUUUGUUCCCCCCCUCUCUCUCCCCCCUCUCCCCCGGACUUGUCUCCAGGCGGCGCCGGGUUCUCACACCGCAACACCAGUUCCACAUACAGGCUCUGCUUCACUGCCUGUACGUAUGUAUGUAUGUAUAUGAAUGUAUGUAUGUGUGUGUCUUGCCCCACCCAGACCAACCCCACCUAUCAUCUCCCUGCCCGCACCUCCCAUAGCUCCGAGCCGUCACGGUGGCGCUGGUCUCGGAGCUGGUCUCGGCAGUAGUGUUGGCGGUCGGGGGGUGGAGGUAGUUCAGUUGCCGCUGGUGGACUCCCGGGGCCGGGCGGUGCGGGGGGCGUUUGGGCGGGAGGCGGCGGGGGCGGGGGCGGGGGCGGGGGGGGAGGGGGCAAGUCGUCGUGGUGGCGGCGGGAAGCCCCCUGAGCGCUACAAUCGACAGACGGGGGAGAAGGAGCGCUACUUUGCGGAUGAUGACAAGGUGUGGGGGGUGGGGGUGGGGGGAAUUGUUGGAGGCGUGAAGAGCGAGGGUGGAAAAAGAGGGGGAAGGGGCUGGAGGGGGCCCCCUCCCCACCAACAAAGGGGGGGUCGGGACUGCGGGGCGGGCAAGGUGGUGUCGUGGUGGUGGUGGUGGUGGUGGGGAGGGUGAUGCUGGGCCUUGGCUCGCAGACAGACAGACGGACAGAUAAAACCCUAAAUCCCCGGAAUUCAACCUCGGGGCGGGAGGAGGCGGGGUUACAGGGGGCAAUGGCGAUGUUCGCCUGGCUGGCUGGCUGGCUGCCUGGUGGUUACGCGGCUGGGGGAUCUGUCGGCCAUUCAUGACGUGUNNNNNNNNNNNNNNNNNNNNNNNNNNNNNNNNNNNNNNNNNNNNNNNNNNUAUGACUCCCCCCUCCCAUCUCCCGACAGGUCGACCUGCAGACCAUGCUCCGUCGUGCAAAGUACGGCGAUGACAACAUGGAUAUGGACGAGCAUUUGGCCGCAAACAUCGCCAAGAAACGGAAGUGGGUUGAGCAUGGAGUAUGGAGUAUGGAGCGGGGGUUGUUGUUUUAGGGUUGUUCUUUUCCUUCGGAUAGAUAGUUCAGCACGGAAAGAAACGGAGAGUUAACCUGAAACCCCGGCAUGUGUGUGUGUGUGUGUGGGUGGGUGGGUGCACUGCGCCAGUGGUGCGCAAAAGGAGGUGCAGGGUAGGAGGACAAACAACGGCGGAUUUGUGAUCCGCGCAACCCUCUCUAUCUCACCACAUCACCCGCCGUGAUCACUGUAUCGUACACCGUACACUGCACCGUACCGUGUGGUGCCGUACGUAUAACCCCCCCCACACACACACACACAAAUGCAGGUUUCGGGGCACCGAGCUUGAUGUGGACGCGGAGUACGAUUAUGACGGCGGUUUGGAGUUGUACGAGAGUCGUACCAAGCGCGGCAAUACGGAAGCCCAGCGCAACCGCGAGCGCAGUCGUCAGGUGGCGGAUCUUCGGCGGCAGGCGUCGGCGGAGGCGGGGUGUGCGUUGUGUCUGAACAGUGAGUUGUCACGGUUGUUAGUUGGCCCUUAGCGGUUGGGACGUGUAUCGGUGUGUAUAGGUGUGUGGGUGGCCCUCUGUCCCUGAGCACCUCGGCCGCUGUGGUGCGGGGCCCGCCCUCGAACCGGCCAACAGGGGAUGGCGCCCCUGCCUCCCUCCCUGUGUAUGUACGUUUGUACAUAUAUAUGUAUGUUUGUGUGUAUGUAUGUGUGUCUAUAUUUGUGUGUAUGUCGUUAUAGGGUGGUUAAGCUUCACCAGCGGCCCCCUUUCCCGAGGCAGUUCCCUGCUCUCCCCUGCGAGAGGGGCACCCUAAUCCGUGUGUAUGUAUGUGUGUAUCUACGUUUGUGUGUAUGUAUGUUUCUUCGUUGUGGGUGUGGGUGUAUGCGGGGCUCCACCCUAGCCGUACACCUCCACAACCCCCACCACCCCGUGGGUCAGUGACUUCAUCGCUUUGGACUCACCCCCUUCACACCUUGAUCAUAUGAUUCCCACCCAACCCCUUUCCGCACUCCACUCCAACCCCCUCCAAUGACCAUUAUAACCCCUCGGCUACCCACCCCCUUGCUACCCCCCCCGGCUCCCCCCCCCCCGGCUACCCCCCCCUCGCCCGGAUGAUGUCAGACCCCAACCGUGCCAAGCACCUGACCAUCGCCCUGGGCACGUGUACCCACCUAAGCUUGCCGUACCGCGGUCGCCUGGUUCGGGGACACUGCGUCAUUGCGCCCUCCGAGCACUGCCCCUCUGUACGGGGGCUGGAUGAGGUGACGUGGACGGAGGUCAAGAACUUCAUCAAGUGCCUCGUACGGAUGUACGGCGCUCACGGCCAGUCGGUCAUCUUCAUGGAGACGUACAUGAUGACGCGAGGGCGAGGGCAUCCACAUGGCUUCCUCGAUGUCGUACCGGUUUCGGAGCGGCAGCUGGAGAAAGCCAGGUAGGCUUGCGGGUUCGGGGGUAGGGGUGGAGGUUUGGGGGUGGGCCCCCGCGCUUGGUUGGAAAAGGCCAGUGCAGGGGCAAAGCAGUAAGCGGGGAAAAAAUUGCUGGAGGAGGAGAGGGGGAGGUACGGAAAAAAGGAGGGGUAAAACCCACACAAGGCCCCCCUCGGGCUGCAAGGACGUGCGUGGUGAGGUCCGUCCGGCCCCUCGAUUACUGCUCGAGGGCGAACCGUAGCCUUGUAGUGAACCAGGCUUUAAGACACUAAAGCCUGGUGGCUUGCGGGGUGGGGAAGGCCGACAGACACCCUGGCACACGGUCGGGGUUUGGGUUGGGACCUAGACAGAAGGUGUGAAGCGCCCCGCGGGGUUGUACGAGGGCUAGGAGUUUCCUAGCAGCCUUACCCUUUGAAGUCCCCCACAGUCCCUUCAGUCCACCCACACCCCCUAUCGGUCCGCAUUCGCCCCCUCCCGCCAUCCCGCCCUCCUCCUUUCACCCCGUAACCCGGCUGGGGCUGGGAGGGCCCUGCGACACCUCCUUCCCCGCACACAUUCGCCCCCUCCCCAAUUACCUCCUCGUCUUAAGCUCGCUUAGGACUCGCUAGGGGCAGUUUCGCACUUUGGACGCGGGACCACGUUCAUUUCUGAGUUUCUUGCAUCCUGUGAUUUCCCCCGCUCUCCCGAAUGACAAAACAAACGAACGAAACGCCUCAACCGUAACCCUCCCCCUCCCCCCCCCUGUUUUGCCUUCACCCUGUUCUGCCGGCGUACACGCCGUCCAAUGCGUCAUCCCGUCCCAUGCGUCAUCCCGUCCAAUGCGUCACUAGGUCAUCUCGUACGACACCACCUGUGUCGUCCUACGCCGCCUUUGCAAAUCUUUAUUACUUCCUGACUUUUCUUCCAUUUUCAUAUAGUUUCUUUAGGUUUUCUCAUUCCAGCUUCCCCGGUCAGCAAGUUUUAUACGCCUUUUCAGCAGCAUCUGCAUGAGUUUUUGUUUUUUUCGUUCGCUGCUCACGAUUUUGCCACCUCUCUGCCUCGCAUGUGCCUUUGCCCGCUGCUCCUGCUGCCUGGCCAGGUGAGUCCAAUAAGGUGGUUCGAGCUUCUUUGGUAUUUCGCGUUGGCGUCGGUAGGCUAGCCGGAAUAGUUUAGUUUGGGUCGGUCGGGUCAGUCGCGCGUUCUAGUUUUUUUGGGGGGUUGGGAGGAACACUUGCAUACCGGCAGCCCUUCAGUAUCAGCAAUGCAGCUUUCUCUCCUGGUCAGCAACUUUACACAACUUCUACGUAAAAAAUGUUUUUCUCGCCGCCUUCACUACUUUUUCUACACCUACUAGUUUACGGUUUGGCUAUAUUAUUUCUGGCGGCUUAGGUAGGUAGGACUUCCUACUUCUACGUCAAAUCUUCAUCCCGAGGUUACAGUCGUCAUCCCGAGGUUACAGUCGUCACAGUCGCCACGGACGCCUUUCGGUCAGUUCUUUCGGUUGCUACUUUCUUACCCUGGCAGCAGCUUAAAUCGCGUGUGGUUCGUCUUUCCCCUCCCCCCCCUCCCCUCCCCCCACCCCCUCAUUCCCACAGAGGCUAUUUCAAGAAGGCCAUAUUGGAGGCGGAGAGUGAGUGGAGCACCCACCACGCCAAGGCGUGUAUAGAGACGACCGCACAAAAGGUGUGAAAGUGGGGAAGGGGGGGAGGGGAAGGGGGGAGUGGAUGGGGCGUGGGGGAGUUUGUGGGGUGGGGGAGGGGUGGGGGGGUAACCACCCGAACCCCGUCUGGGAGAGGCAGGGGGAGGCUAUGAGAGGGAAGCUGUACGUGUACGACGCAGACAACCCACCACAUGGCGGCACGUCCUUAACCCCAUGGACCGUGUCCUCUCUCCCUCACACGCACGCACCUAUAUACACACAUUGGCAUCUUCCCCCCCCCCCCACACAUACAAUUUUGGUGCAGGGCCUGCGGGAAUCCAUACCACCCAACUUUCCGUACUUCUACGUACAGUUUGGGUACGGCAGCGGGUACGUGCAUGUUAUUGACAACGAGGCCAAGUUCGACCCCAACUUUGGCCGACAGGUGGGCCCGGGGCGGUGUGUGUGGGAGGGGGGAGUGAAGCUGUUUGUGGGUGGUAGGGGCCACGUUUUGACCCGGACCAUAACCCCACCACGCUCCCCUGCCGAAUAUACGAACACACAUACACACACACAAGUCCUUCCACCCGUAUUUCUCCUCCCUCCGCUCCUUACUUGGGCUUGCCCUACCUCCCCUCCCAUCCCUCUUUCCUCAUCUCCCCCCAGGUCCUGAUCGGGCUGCUGGACCUGCCCCCGGAAAUGGCCUUCCAGCGCCAGAAGCCCGAGAGCCUGGCCACUCAGCAGCAGUGGGUGCGCGAGUUCGAAUCCCAGUGGGACCCAUUCGACUGGACCAGGCAACUGCACCAGGCGGCAUGACGUAGGCAGCACAGCGCGCCAUGAUGCACACCUAGGCAUCACCUAGACUUCACUCACGCCUGAGGUCGUACAAGACCAAGCACUCGAGUUUCUCCUGCCGCAACCGCUGUACGAUUACAUGUAUACGCCGUGCAUGUGCAUAUGUACCAUUUUGUAUAUACGGAUGAGGGGAAGGCCUUCCAGGCGGGGAUGAAGGCGGCGGUCCUGUUUAGGCAACCGCAGUCGAGGGACCUUGCAAGUUGGGGGUGGUGAGGUCACCUCACUGAGGUGGCGGUGGUUGGUUGUAGGAGUGGUUGCCGUUAUUAUUUCCGUUGUAAUGCGGCGGUAUGUCAGUCCAUGUGGCGACACCGGCCUUCGAGCCAGAACAGGAAACUAGACGGGACGUAGACCUGACCUGACCUGACCUGACCUUGGCUGUGUGGGUUGGAGCGUGGAAAUGAGGGGGGAAAUUACUGGUUGGUUGGUUGGUUGGUUGGUUGGUUGGCUCCCAUCCCCACGAAGGGGAAUCUCCGGAGCCUGCGGCCCUGCUUGCCGAGGAGCUGUGUGUGACCACCCUGUGUGGGAUUACGAAGCAGGUGAUGUGAACCUGCUGACGGGGCUGGAGCCGGGGGGGUCCCAAUGCUUGCCGGAGUUGUUAUUAUGCCGGCUGGUGAGGUGGUGGUGUGCGGGGUGAGGUGGUGUGGUGGUGGGGGUCGGUGGUGUUUGCGGCUCGGCUGGGGCUUGUGGCAGAUGUGGUGUGGUGGUGGGCGUGGUGGGGGGCCGGUGUCACCCUACUCUCUGUACGGAACGGAACUGUGCACUGUUACGUACCUGAUAAUAAAUACACGGCAUUAUGACGACCAUAUAUACGUACAUACUUGAAUACAUACAGACGUACGGACAUACCUGAAGUAAGAUGCGAAUGGGCGUCUGCAUGUCAGUCUGCGUGUGCGUGUGUGUGUGUAUGGGACCUCCUGCUGAAGUACCACUGAGGGGGAGGAGGAGGAGGGGCAGAGGGCUACGUGUGCUAGGGUAGUGGGGUGGCGGGGUGAUGGGCGCCGUCAGGGGGGGUACGACCUGACCCCACCCACUGCCCGUACACGACACGACACGACACGACACGAGGGACCGGGAGGUGCACCCAGUGGCGGAGCAUAUGAGCUGUCUAGCGAGCGGCCGGGCGUGUAGCGGUCCGCAGCCCCAGCGGCCAUCAGCACCACCCUCAGGUGAACAAACUGCACACAUCGACUCAGUAUAUCAGGACAUUGGACGGACACAGCUUUCAUUCACUUCACUCCGCCACAACACGAUCAACUACCGGUUGUUUUAUUAAUUUGCUUCUUCCGCUCAGUCCAUUCAGUCCUCUAAUCACACGGGCUGGUGGAGGUGGGGUUAGGGGCCCCGGGCUGCUACCCACCCGGUCUGGCCGCCUGGGGAGGAGGGGGGUGCAAGGGGGGCAUCCGCGGCCGUUAAGUUACAAGUGCCGCACGAGUGUUAGGGGGUCCGUAAAAGCCGGAAGGCCAUGGACUAUACAUAUUGAAAGGUUGAUUCCACCGUACGACCGACGGCGGUUUGGGUCCUGCCAACUAGACCCCUCCUCCGUUUCUGGAACCGCCUUCAAAAGCAAGUGGGAUCCAUUGCUCAUGCAGUUUUACGGCAGGAGGUAACCGAUGCCCUGACCAACCCGGAAUGGGAGGGUUGGGGAAUCUCAAUGUUACGACUGUUUUCCUUCUUGGAGUGCAACAUUUGGAGCGGAAUACCGCAAGAAGUCGUGGGGGUAAAGGAGCGUGUUGACUGGUUGUUGAGUAGAUCUCUACCAGAAGGAGCGAUAAUAACGGCACUAAGAGAGCGUUUGAUGAGCGGCUGGGACCAUACGCGUCUGACUGUCUUGCCAGAGGAGUACCCAUCAGAUGGGAAGCAACCGGGAGCGCAAAUGGCGAAGUAUAAGCACUGGAUGGGGCUGCCCUUUUCGGGAGCCGCAGCCGUCAUGUGGCCAACACAUGCUAAGGUUUUCAUUCCUCGUUUAGCACAUCGUAAGCUAAUGCAGUUUCGUUUAUGUUGCUGGGCUUUGGAGGCGAACAGAGCACGAAGGGGCAAGUACCAUGUCCCCAGGGGGCAGCGGUUUUGCCACUGUUGUGGUCCUAAUAGCCGAAUUGAGGAUGAAAAACACGUGUUAUUGGAAUGCCCAGCCUAUAAUGAUAUUUGUGCUGAAGAGGGAUUCGAUCAUCAACAGAGUAUGUUGGAGGCCAUGCAAUGGGAACCCGCACGUCUGGCGAGGAUGUUGGAACGUAUGUGGGCUCACCGAAACUCAAUUACCCCCUUUGGACGCUAGUCUGGGCUGAUGUGCGGUGUUUUUCCUUUUCUCCGUGGCUUUUGGGCGUUGUAGUAUUGCCCUUGGGCCUUCGGCUCGUAUGGGUAGUCUUACAGGUAUGGGGUCACGCACCCCCAACCAUGUAACACACACACACACACACACACUGAAGACCCCUCCUCAUCCAGUCACCCAACAUCCGUAGAGACAGAUCAGCCACCACCACCAUCUCAGCAUGCGAAACUUAGUCCAUCAACUAGACCUCAUCUCCACACCUCUGUAGCGUUCUGUGUUACUGUCUCUCUUAACUGGUUCUGGUGGCUGUGGAUUGGCUGACCCGAUGGUGCUGAACGGCGUGGUUUGGACAAUUUUGGCGAGAAUUGCACCUCUGCCAUGGGCCUUACACAGCAGACCGAAGAGACAUUUGCUCACUGGCGAGGCCCAGGCUGCGGGAGACGGAGAGUUUCGCCUCCCCGUCGCGCCGCGUGUAGUGCUGCACCAUGGCGUCGCUGCGCCACCGGCCGUGCGCCUUGUGCAGGUCCGCAGGCACACCGCGAUCGGCGGCAGUGCUAUUUCCUCCUAUGCGCAUGGAAUGCGCAGUGAUGCGGCGGGUGAUCCCCGCCGCCUGCAGGGUCUUGUUGAGCCGGUGGCAGAAGGCAGGGUACGACAGGGAGUGGAUCGGCUGGGCCACCGUGCCUGUCAGAGGGCCCGACAGGUAUCCCCCGGCCCUGUUCCACUGGACCGGCCGCAGAAGGGGCCCGACGUCCUCGUCUGGCGUGUCUGGGCGGCGUUUGUACCGUCCUAGGGUGAGGAGGCGCUCUGUCAGGCCUACGGGGCAGGCGGCACCGCCGACACGGGCGAUGGGAACCCAGUGACCUUGUCUCUGCUGAUCAGUCUUGGACCGAGGGAUGAAAACAUCCAUCCCAGUUGCCGUGAUAACCAGAAGGUCCUCGUGAACGCUUAUCUCCGCAGCGUCAUCAAACCGAAAGAACCCUGCGAACAUGACUGCGACGGCCGUAACGGUCAUCAGCUGGUCGAGGGGCGGUUCCGGCCCACCAAUCAGCCAGGCCAGCACCGUGACGUCUGCCGGCUCCAGGGCGUCGUGUUCCAGCUUGCGGCCUUAGAGUUGCUUUUCGGCGAGGUCACGGACGAUGCCGCAUGCAGGGUGCUCUGUAGGGGACACUCUGCCGGCCAGGCGGAAGUAGGAGCUGAUUGCUGCACUCGCUGUGCGGACCCGUCCAGGCCCCACCUUGUCUUCCUUGGACGAGUUCAGCAGGGAGAGCAGGUAAAGCGCCACCACCUCGCCCGAGGUGUCAUAGAUGCUUCCGGGCAGUUGCCUGGCCGCCCACCACUCGCGGAAAGGUUCCCAAGACCGCGAGUAUUCGUUGGAUGUCCGCGGGUCGAGUGUCUGACCGGCCACUUGGGCAAACUGAGUCGCCAAAGUGGAGAGCUCCGCGUCCGCCUCCGCACCAAGAGCGACCAGGAGAGCUUCGGCCCGGGCGUCUAAAUCUGUGCGUGGGUUGCGGUCGGAUCGGUGGGGACACGGAUGCGGUUGAUGUUAGAGGCCGAGAAGUCGACCAGGAGGGCCAAGGUGGACCAGCGUGAUGCGCCUUUGGGCAGGGGGACCCCUGAGGUGCGGGCCAGGAAAACAUCUGAGGCCCGGCCGAGCACGCGGGCUCCGCUCAUGAAGGGUUUGAACCAGACCCCGUCGGCCGUGAUGAAAGGCCACCAGUCGCGGGUAGGCCAGAAAGGUGCGACAAGGCAGAGCCGGGACUUGCAGGCCUCGGCGUGCUGCAACACCUUGAGGAGGAGGUGAAAGGGCGGGUUCGCCCAGCACCUGCGCCCCCAUGAGAACCUGAACGUGUCGACUCCAGACGUCAUUGGGGUAAAGUAGCGGGAGUAGUCCCCAUACGCGGGCUGUGCCCGACGCCAACAGAUCUGCGAUGGCUUCGUCAACGAACGCGGCGUUGGCGGUUGCCGAAGCGUGAUUGCGGCCUGAGUGCUGGGGGGGAGGGCUGGAGUCCCAACGGAGUGGGAAGCCCGACGUGAUCCACGAGAUGACCAGCACGUUCACAACCCAAGCCUUCCAAGCGCUCUUUUUGCCAGAGAGGCGUCCUCUCAUCUGGGGCGGCGUGGAAGGCUGACCCGCUGCUGGUAACGACCGAACUCCCUACAAGGCGUUGUCGGAAGUAGGACUAGAAAAAACUCCCCUUUAACCUUCCGGAAGUCACCCGGGGCCUCAGCCUUCGCACCUUCUGGUGCCACCGCGGGACGGGCUGGUUGUUUCCGAUGCGUGGCGGCCAGGCUUGCCGGGACUGAUGCGGGGUCCAGACUUGCCGGGACUGAUGCGGGGUCCAGACUUGGCGGGACUGAUGCGGGGUCCAGGCUUGCCGGGACUGAUGCGGGGUCCAGGUUUGGCCGACGGGCAGGGGCAGGGCCCGGUGCGGGCCGUUUGGGGGCUGGUGUGUCGUCGGGGGCUGCAGCAGGUGGGCCACGCGGCUGACCUAAAAGGCGCUGCCUUUUGAAUUGGCUGGCGUUGCGACUGACGGACAUCUGGGCGUCUUCCGCAAGGCCCGGACGCGAGAGGGCCUCUACCCCUAGCUCUGACAGGAAAGCGAUAGCAUCGUCAUGGGAGAACGAAUCCAUGGUUCCUUAGACGGAAUUCACUGGCGAUGGUGAAGGCCUGCGAGCGUGCACCGGACGGACUGAUGGAGACACGGGCGAGGCGAGGAAGUAGAACAACGCUUAAAGAAGUAUGACAGGCAAAAAACGGGUCCCCCAGCCGGCCGGCUGCCAAGGCGACUUAAUGGACCGCUUGACUUGACGCGAAUUGUCCAAAGAGUACGGCAAACGCUGCCACAGAGUGAACCCGUACGACGGUCUGUUCACAAACUCAAGACAAGAAAAGGCGAUAGAAGGAAAGCGGGAGAGGAAGACACCGCGAAUAAAGAAGGCAAUCGACGAUGCUCACGUCUGCGCGCACGGGCGCCAACAACUGCGCACGCGGGCGCCUCAAUUGCACUCGCGGGUGUCCAACUCGAUGCUCGCUGGCAACUUCAUCGCGACCAGAAAAGGUUACUCCUGCGCAUGCUGCGCUGACCGGCGUUGGUCCUUAAAGAAUUGAAACGGCGCGCGGGCCUGGAAGACUGAGCAGGGCCCGCGGGCCCGCUUUAUGGCGCUAACACCAGAAAUUCACUACUUGCCGCUGCGGCGGCCAUUGCCAUUGCGAUCACUGCGAUCAUAGCGCUCUGCAUCGAGACUUCCGCCGUAGUCAUGACCUCCACGCUGGCCGCCACCCCUGUGGUUGCUGCCGCGCAAUCCGCCACCGCUGACAGUUUCUAAAACCGCGGCGCCUGUUUUAGCAGCGCCGGCCGGCGGGGAGGACCCAGUGGCGCCUAAACCCCCACCAUCCCCACCUGGAACAGUGGAGACGUUCUCAGUCGAUGGCGCAUUAUCAUUAAUAGUUGACAUUGGAAGAAAUUGAAAUCGGAAAACGUAAAAAACUUGAACAAAUGUGGAUCGGAAUUGAAUUGGUAAGGCUUCAAGUACAGCCUGUCACGCUGACUAUUUGGACAAGGCUGUAUGCUCUUCUGUGUGAAGGCAGAAUAACUUCACCAGGAGAGCAGCAAGGUUUAAGUCGCCACUGCGACCCAGUUGUACGACAGUACCGCAGAACUAGCCUUAAAGGCUCCAGUCGCUUCGCUCCGUCGCAUCUAAGCCAACAGUUAGUACCUAGACCUCCCGAACAAUGUCGGGUGUCUAACCAAGAAUCGAACUCGGAAGCUUCAUAGACACAAAGGCGCCACCAGACCAGGGUUCGACACUGACCUUCCUGAAACUUGCGGGCUCACCCGUACCUCCCAAAUUUUGGUUACGGAGGGGCCCCCGUACCAGGCUCCUGUACCGGCCGAAAACCUUACGGGGGCCCCCGUAACCCCCGCAAAACCUUUACGGGGGCACUGUCCUUGGCUGAAACGCUGUGGAAAGUGACGCUUUGCAUUUUUUUGCCCUGUAAAUCGUUUUUUUCCGUUAUUUUCACCAGAGUCUGGUGACCAGACCAGACCAAUAGCACGCAUGGCGAAGGUAGGAUGACAUAAUUUUAGAGAAAUACAAUUAGGUAAUAUCGUACGUGUGGGAAGCAUCUUUAUGCUGACAUCCAGAUUCGAACUGGAGUCCUCCCGCUUACUAAGCGGGUGCCCUAUCAAACUGAGCUAUGCCAGCGAGAGACCCUAAGAGCGUCCAACACAGGGUGUGCUCAAGGAGACACGUCCCCAGUCCAUUGUGUGAAAUCCGCCCCCGCCGCUUUGCAGUCCGCUUCCCCCCUGAUUUCCUGCCCACUCGGCGGCGCAGGUUAUAGCAGCGGCGGCGGUGGCGGGGACCCAUCAUGGGGUUAUGAAUAACCCCCAGAGGCCCCCUCCGGUGGACAGCUAGGGGAAAUUCAACAGCAGCAGCAGCAGCAGCAGCAGCAGCAGCAGGGGUACGGGUAUGCGGCACACGUAGGCACCACUCUUCCGGUCUGGUUUCACACACACACAAAAAUAUACGUCUACAUAGUCUCGCUCUUCAUAUAUGAUGUGUGAAACAGGGGGGUGUAUCUUCGCCCGUGGCAGCUACCCUGCGAAAUCCUGCCUUCCCCGGUAUUUCGGGGCACCCUCAUCAAGUCACCCUAGUCAACUUCACAGUGGAUCGCUCAGGUUCCGCACCCACCACCAGCAUCCAACGGAAUCUCCCGGACCGACAGCGGCCCAUCUCCAUUCCUGGUCGGCUCGCAAGUUAACUUUACACCAGGUCACCACCGUCCAUCACCUAAGAAGGAUUCUAUACCCUAACGGGUAUCGAGCCCGGGAUCUUCCGGGGGCAAUGGUCGCGCGUUACCAGUUGUGCCAAACCCUUAUAUAUAUGUAUAUUUACGAUAUACAUGUAUAUAUAAUAAUAGAUUUUGUAUAAACGAAGUGGCCAGUCGUGAUAGCAGCCCUGUGCAGUCAAGUGCUGCCCUUCCUACAAGCUAGUGCUUGGCCGUGCCAGCUGCGCAUCGCAAGCGACUCGAAAAUGCUGCCGGUCGGUUAUGAGGCGUCUGACAUUUGCUUAUUGCCAUUGAAGGGAACGAAUCCGUUCGUUUUGGAGGAAGAUGAGUCUAUCUAACCAACUCUGUUACCAUCGUCGUACGAUACCUAGAUCGCCUGGAUGGAUUCUUAUCCACAGCAGCACGGCACUAUCGGUACCGUAGCUACCGUAGCAGGCAGAUAAGGCAAGGGGAAACAGUUAAGUGCCAAAAACAAGAAGUGGAAAAACGAUCCACAUGAAUAUGAUAAUCACAGGCGUUCAGUUUUGGGGUCCUUUGGCGCCUUGCCGCAACUUCGGCACAUUGGAAUUCGACAGUUCUACAGGCGCGAGCGACGAUCCAAUCCUAACAAGCCAAUGUCAUGACCGAGGAUAACUUUAGAGCUCAGACGCCGGGGGACGAACCAUGUGAAACGAAAAAAUCCUUAAGAAUCAGUUAUGCUGCAAUCACGCCAAUGCCUUGCAUUGUUGUUGCUCGUCCCUGCAAAGGAUCUCCAACAACGCUGGAGUUAAGAUAUAUUCAUGUUUAUUUGGUCUAACUGGUUUUGACACUUAAGGAAUACAAUAACUCCAAUUUUCCUUGUCCUUGAAGCGGUUACACACGUGGCCAUCGCGGGUUGCGUUCGGCUUGCACCUUGACCAUGCAGCCGUACACUCGGCGCGUUACAAUUUCCCGUAACGCCGACACGCAUGUCACAUGUCAGAAUCGCGCUUCUGUCUACCAAAUGGUUCCGGUUACUCGGAUAGGUAUCAUCUGUUCCUGCCUUUUUAUGAUUGUAUCGUAGUAAUAGCCGACAAUACUCAGGUAAAUAAUUCUCCAGCCAAAGGGGCGCGGCCUAAGAAGCGGUCUGGCUCUGCUUGCGUAACUCCGGAAGAGAGAGAGCUCCUCGGAGACAAGCUUUUGACGACUUUGGAAAUUCACGUAUGUCUCGCGCCCAGCUCUCCGCUGCUAAUCAGGCUGCUACUGCUGCGCGUUUCGCGACGACAGCUCAAUAACUCUGCUUAAAUAACACGGUUUCAUAUCUCAGCGCUAAUAACCUCAGGCGUGGUAAAGAUAUAUAGUCAAAGCUUUUGCCAACUUCCCGCGUUGAAAAAGUUUUGAACUCUAACCGACAUAAAACAGUGACGACCUUUAUAACAGAACAACAGAACAACAACGAAAGCGCAUAACUUUGCAAAACAAUAAAACUAUCAGACCAAACAGCACCGGUAAUACCGUUAUUGCCUUUAGUUCCGUCUUCAUCAUCAGUCCGCGCGUCGGUCCGCUGGCAAUUACGGAAGCAUCAACAGCCACGCCGCCGCCGAGUGCCAACCAAAUCCGCGUCAUGCUCAGCAAGCAUUGAUGCAACCAUCACACCGCGGGCGCGUGGUGGGAUUGUUUCCUCCUGCGUACCCAGAUAGCUAGCGACAUGUUACUGAGGUAGCUCAGCAGCAGCGGUGUACUUCCCAUCCGCACCGCCCACCCCCACAGCACAGGCCGUGCACUCAUGUAAACCAGGCCGCGAUCACUCGAGCUCGCAGGACUAUGGAAAAGUACUUUUGCGUUCGUAACACGCAUCAUCGAGGUGUAACUACAAUGCUCAUGCAGUCUCAUGCAGUUAUCUAUGCCCUCUGUGUUCCUUCUUCACUUCGUAAGGCGCUCUUCAAACCAGAAGGCGUGGGAAGUUCUUGCGACGUUGUUUGUCGCUGUCGGGUUACUGCGCUUACGGGGUCGUAAAGAACAUUUCCUGCCUCUUUGGACAUCGGCAUAGACACCUUUCCAAACAGCUGUAGAUUUUGGUCAGGUUGAGAUCAUUAAUUCAGACCGCGAGAUCUCAUUCCGCUGUCGUUUAAGCAAUCGCCAGCGUUGCCGACCGUUGCCUCGCGCGAUAGUUUCGUGACCUUGGAAGAUUCGCUCCAACGGUUUUAUGCACUACUGCUGGAACAUCAGGUAGAUGUGCACGCAGGCGCACGUUGGGAGCUACUAGAAAAGCAAAAACGAAUGAUUUCAUCGGAAGGAUGUACGGUGCCUCUUUGUCUUCAGUAUUGAUGGUCGUGCAAAAUGCCUCCUUCAGCCGGGUCGUGAAGCGGUAACCGUCAGGCACCUUCAGCCGACACGUGAGCCAUAUAAAAAGAUGUAAAGGAUGGUAAGUUUUUUCCAUACAUUUGAUGAGAGCGGCUUAAGGUAUGUCGCCUCAUUAAAUGUUUUGGUCCUCGGCGCCCCAGCACAUGGAGCGACACAGGCGAUGUCGGGGCCUGGCCCAAACAGGUCGCCUGAUCUGCAUCAGCACGGCGAUCAUUAUGUAAGUGAAGUUAUUUAUCUGUCAUUAUUUAUGAUCACGUUGUCGCUCGCGUCCGCGAGGUGUUGACGGUGCCGGAAUGUGAAACUGCAGGGCUUUCGCCCUAGCCUGCGUCUCUAGCCGUAAUCCUCAGAUAUCAGCACAUCGUAAUAUUCUUUACAAUGAGCACUCAAGCCUGUCAUUAUUGGAUUCUGGGCCUACCUUUUGCCUGCUCGUCUCCGUCAACGCGACGACUUGCGAGCGGCAAGCAUUUCAUCUUUCUGGUUUAGAGAGCAUCUAUAUAAACAUAAGUAAGCCCAAUAUGUGAAUAUAUUGCUCCGUUAAUGCUGAAGGCUUUUGUCGCGCUGUCGUCAAGCAUCGACGUCCUGCACGAGCUAAUACCACCUGCUCUCUUUCACACAUGUCCUUUAGGAGUUUGUAUACGGUAACGAAGCAUAUUAUGAAGCAUAACAAAUCAUAUUUGAUGCUCAAAUAUUGCAGGGCCAGAAUGCUAUGAUUCCAGCAUUGGGUUGGUGGCGACACUGCAGCAGCAUGACUCGCCGGGUGGAAGCGUCACACCCCUGGAGUACGCGCUCGAGCUGCCUACCACCAUUGCAACAGAUAAAUACAAUAACAAAGAUCUAUCAGUACAGCUGCGCGCAUCUGCCGGCUUCAGCUCAUCCAUCUUGGCUGAGCACGGGCGGGCCCGUCUUUGUGUGCGGCUGGGUGGCGAUGGUGUCGCAACUGUUCCCAAUCAGUGCGCUGUCGCAUCCCACUGGUGUGCUCCAUCCACCCAAAUUGAUGCCGCUCUUGCUGAUGCUCAUCCCUCGUCGCCACAACCCAGCUGCUGGGUGAUGCUGCAAGAUGCCGCGGGGGGUACCUGCAUGCAACCAGCAAUGGAGGUACUCGAGUCCGGGGUCCACGUUGCGGCCAAGCAAUCUGCGGAGGCUCUGCGGACAGAUGAGCCGCUAUUGCAUCACCAAGGAUCCCAGGAUACCGCUGCGGCGACCCGGCCCUGGCUGGGCGAACGAAGCCUCAUGUCUGAAGAUGCCGGUCCGCCGCCAAGUGACUCCGACCCGCAGUCGCACCCGUAUGGUGAGGCUGAUUCCUCACUUGGACAAACCCAAACCCCAGAUAUGCCCCAGCAGAAUCUCCCUCCACCUCCACCUCCACCUUUCCCUCCCCCUCCCCCUCCCCCGCCCCCUCCGCCUCCACCUCCACCUUCCUCCCCACAGCCCCCCGACUCAGCGACCGUCCCGACAUCACCCAAUGAGUCCUGCAGGCUCUGCAUCAAGAUUGAGGUUGUGCCGCCCGCAGUUGAAAUGGUGGGAUUCCAGCUGAAACUGGAUGAGGAGCGAUGCGCGCAGGCGGCAUCCAACAUCGCGACAGCAAUGGGCAACAUAAAGGGCAUCGGGCUCCGGAACUACAACAGCACCGAUGUCCUUAAAAAGCCAUUCAAGCUGAAGGCGUGUGAUCCUGGCGAUACGGCUGCUACAGGCGCCCGCAUGCAUCCCUACAUGACUGUGUGCGGUGCAUACUUCCGGCGACCACACGUCAUCGAAGCUGUUUCAAAGCGACUGGCAAACGGACUACUCCAGCGCUUCGUUGACGAAUUGCUGCCUGAGUGGUGCCCGCCGCGAUCUGCGGCCCCGUACAACUUCACCGCUUCCGUUGUUGCGCCGCGGCAGGAAGAGCGGUCAUGCUUCUACAGCUUCCAGCGCCGGAGCUCUUGCAUCUCCCGCAGUCCCCAAGCCCCUAAGCAACCCCUUAUUUGGCGCCCGCGUCAGCCACCUAACCGUCCACCGCGACCCCCGAGCCCAGAGCCAGACUUCUUUUACCAGCCGCCGCCGCCGCCCUCGCCGCCACCUUCACCCCCCGGUCCGCCGCCAUCACCGCGACCCCCUGCUCCACGACCUCCCUCUCCUCCGCCUCCGCCACCACCACCCAGGCCGCCGCCUCCAUGGCCGUACCCGCCACCGCCGUAUGUCGACCUUGUCUGCAUCCGUCUGGCAUAUGACGGCCUUAAACUCCUCAACGAGAGUACCACAUGCGGCGGGGAGUCUGGAGCCUGCCUGUGGAACCUUAUGUACACCGUUUUUAACCACGGCAUUUACGCGCUCAAUACAAGAGGGAUCGCACACACUUGGACAAACCGCUACUGUGGGGACAAUGAUAUUGUCCUUUGCAGUCCCAUCUUCGUCAACGACACAAGUCGUGCGCUAGACGCACUCAGCCUCGCCCUGCCGAAGAUUUUUGACGACAUCUUCCCCCCGGGACGCAGGUUCAGCUGCUUUGAGCCCGGCAGCAACCCGAAUGCGGAUGCGACGCAAUGGCGGUUGCUGCUCGGGGUGGGACCCUUCCCAGGUUACCCGGGAAGCAGUGUCAGGCUUCAAGUGGACUGCAAGGCAACGUUACUCGCUGUGCCCCCGCCAAACCCACCCGCCCCUUCACCUCCCCCCAGUCCACCCCCGCCCCCCUUCAAUCUGCAGUGCCUCAGGCCUGACAGUCCCACUAUCCCUUUCAAAGUGACCGGCGUACAGGUCUGUAUGUGCAUCUGUAUGUGUAUCUAUGUUUCUGCCAGUUUGUACGUCUGUACGUCUGUCUGUACAUCUGUGCGUCUGGGCAUCUGUGUGUGUGUCUGCAUAUCGAUUUCCAACGUAGCAUGUUGAUUGGCGCCAAUUCCCCAUAACGCUCUCUUGGAUUGGUUGCAUGAUUGGAUUGCCAUCACUGCAUCCCCAAAAACUGAUACGUCGUUGAUUCGUCAGCAGCUGGGCCUGCCGCCCUACAUCCUACAUCCAAAUCAUUCUACCUACCCUUCUUUUACCACUGCCACCACACCGUUCAGGUGGUGCAAGACCUGGCGUUGCCAAGGGGACUGCAGACACCGCCACCGGCAUGCUUCUCCAUCGAUCUCAAACCACUCCCAACAGAGCCACUUCAGCCCCGGAACGAUGUGAGUGCCUACGAUCCCCAUUACAUGUACUCUGUGUGAGGGUGCGUGCGGGUGUGUGUGUCAGUCUGUCAGUCUGUCAGUCUGUCAUUCUGUCAUUCUGUCAGCCUGUCAGUAUGUCGGUCUGUCAGCCUGUCAGUUUGUCAGCCUGUCAGUUUGUCAGCCUGUCAGUUUGUCAGUUUGUCAGUCUGUCGGUCUGCCGGUCUGUCAGUCUGUCAGUCUGUGAGUCUGUGAGUCUGUGAGUCUGUCAGUCUGUCAGUUUGUCAGUCUGUCAGUCUGUCAGUCUGUCAGUUUGUCAGUCUGUCAGUCUGUCAGUCUGUCAGUCUGUCAGUCUGUCAGUCUGUCAGUCUGUCAGUCUGUCAGUCUGUCAGUCUGUCAGUCUGUCAGUCUGUCAGUCUGUCAGUCUGUCAGUCUGUCAGUCUGUCAGUCUGUCAGUCUGUCAGUCUGUCAGUCUGUCAGUCUGUCAGUCUGUCAGUCUGUCAGUCUGUCAGUCUGUCAGUCUGUCAGUCUGUCAGUCUGUCAGUCUGUCAGUCUGUCAGUCUGUCAGUCUGUCAGUCUGUCAGUCUGUCAGUCUGUCAGUCUGUCAGUCUGUCAGUCUGUCAGUCUGUCAGUCUGUCAGUCUGUCAGUCUGUCAGUCUGUCAGUCUGUCAGUCUGUCAGUCUGUCAGUCUCAUCCACUUAGUGCCCAAACCCCAAGUCCCCGUCGCUCCACCCCCCUCCCUUCCUACCCCGCAAAACCCCCCAGCCCGCUCACCACCGCCUGAUUCUUGAGUGAUGGCCUCCCACUCAAACAGGACUGUUGAUUGCCGCGUAAUGCUCUACAUAUUGGUCCACUCUUCACUAUUCACACAUCACCAUCUAUCCAUCCCAUCUACACGCCGUACACAUCUCCACACGACACAAGCCGUAUGCACAUCUGCCCCUCCCCCUGUUCCCCGCGCGCAGGGCUGUUCGAAUACCACACAGCUCCGGGGCCUUAUCCUGAUGGUGGACCCCUCCGUCAAGGCGAGAGACAGUAUGUAUAUCAUCUACCGGAGUGCAUGGGUCGACCGACCGGCUGACAACUCCUACGAUUCCCUGCUUUGGAAUCAGCUGCCGUGGAAUGUCAGCGCACCUGGGUACUUGUCUGUGCUUCAGGACACUCCGUCAGAUUGGGGGGUGCGAUUCAUGAGGUCAUGGGGAGGUGUACAACUGUGCCUGGGAGAUUUCCCAGUCAGCCAACUCCGAGACUUGUGCAUGGGCAAUUCCUGCACAAUGGCCUUAUACUUCUCACCGACAUGCUGCGUAGCUCAAAGGGUUCCAAUCAACAAUGUGUUGCCGCCGUCGCCGCCGUCGCCGCCAUCGCCGCCGCCGGGUCCGCCGCCAUCGCCGCCACCGCCAUCGCCGCCAUUGCAGCGGCCAUCGCCGCCGCCGCCCGUGCGGUCCUCACCCUCGCCCUCGCCAUUAGCACAGUCGAUCCCUUCGCCGCUGCGUCCUUCGCCGCCGCCACCGCCGUCGCCGGCUCCUCCAAGGAAUAGCCCACCGCCGCCACGGGCGCUUUUGCAGCGACUGCCGCCGCCACCGUCGCCACAGAUGUCGCCACCCCCGCCUCCUCUGCCGCCGCCGCCACCACCUCCUCCGCCUCCACCGCCUCCACCACCACCGUCACCAGCUCCACCCGGGCUGCCGCCGCCGCCUCCUCCGCCGCUGUCGUCCCCUCCGCCACCGCCUCCACCACCGCCACCUCCUCCUCCACCUCCUCCACCACCGUCGCCAGCUCCGCCUCAUCCGCCGCCACCUCCUUUGCCGCGGCCUCUACCACCACCGCCGUCCUCGCCACCGCCGUCACCGCCUCCGCCUCCGCCGCCACCACCAUCGCCNNNNNNNNNNNNNNNNNNNNNNNNNNNNNNNNNNNNNNNNNNNNNNNNNNNNNNNNNNNNNNNNNNNNNNNNNNNNNNNNNNNNNNNNNNNNNNNNNNNNNNNNNNNNNNNNNNNNNNNNNNNNNNNNNNNNNNNNNNNNNNNNNNNNNNNNNNNNNNNNNNNNNNNNNNNNNNNNNNNNNNNNNNNNNNNNNNNNNNNNNNNNNNNNNNNNNNNNNNNNNNNNNNNNNNNNNNNNNNNNNNNNNNNNNNNNNNNNNNNNNNNNNNNNNNNNNNNNNNNNNNNNNNNNNNNNNNNNNNNNNNNNNNNNNNNNNNNNNNNNNNNNNNNNNNNNNNNNNNNNNNNNNNNNNNNNNNNNNNNNNNNNNNNNNNNNNNNNNNNNNNNNNNNNNNNNNNNNNNNNNNNNNNNNNNNNNNNNNNNNNNNNNNNNNNNNNNNNNNNNNNNNNNNNNNNNNNNNNNNNNNNNNNNNNNNNNNNNNNNNNNNNNNNNNNNNNNNNNNNNNNNNNNNNNNNNNNNNNNNNNNNNNNNNNNNNNNNNNNNNNNNNNNNNNNNNNNNNNNNNNNNNNNNNNNNNNNNNNNNNNNNNNNNNNNNNNNNNNNNNNNNNNNNNNNNNNNNNNNNNNNNNNNNNNNNNNNNNNNNNNNNNNNNNNNNNNNNNNNNNNNNNNNNNNNNNNNNNNNNNNNNNNNNNNNNNNNNNNNNNNNNNNNNNNNNNNNNNNNNNNNNNNNNNNNNNNNNNNNNNNNNNNNNNNNNNNNNNNNNNNNNNNNNNNNNNNNNNNNNNNNNNNNNNNNNNNNNNNNNNNNNNNNNNNNNNNNNNNNNNNNNNNNNNNNNNNNNNNNNNNNNNNNNNNNNNNNNNNNNNNNNNNNNNNNNNNNNNNNNNNNNNNNNNNNNNNNNNNNNNNNNNNNNNNNNNNNNNNNNNNNNNNNNNNNNNNNNNNNNNNNNNNNNNNNNNNNNNNNNNNNNNNNNNNNNNNNNNNNNNNNNNNNNUGCAACCGGGGGGCCGUCUCCAACACGGUCCUACUGCAGCUGCUGCAGUCCGUCGUCGUAAACGCCGCCAACGGCAACAACCUGCCCGUGGACUGGUCACAGCGGAUGUGCACUUCCAGUGAUGUCAUGUUCUGCACCGACAUCGCAACCGACGAGUUUUCAAGACUGGCAAACGUGUUGAGCGGUGUCAUGCCCCAAGUCCUCAAAGCGCUAUGUGAUCGUGCCGGAACCCAGCUGGCGUACUACAAAAGCGUACGGCUGUGGUACGGCGGUAAUCCGUUGGUUGGUGCUCAGCAGAUUGAAAGGCUGGAUUUCGGUAACUGUCUCGCGCAGCCGCCGCCAUCGUUGAUGUCGCCCCCUCCCCGGCCUCUGGUCCCCCUGCCGUGCGUGUACGGCUCCAACGCGUCAUCGGUUGGACCGCUGAGGCUGCGUCGGGAAGUGCAGGUGGGAGGGUUUGGGAAGGGUUUGGGAAGGCGGGGGGGGCAGGAGGGAGCCAGCUGACUGAGGAGCUCUGAGUCCCCUCCGGCCGCCCGGGGGGCCACCCGGACCGCACUGUGCCCCCCCCCCUCCCCAACAUGCUUGGCGGGAAACACACCUGCCCCUUAGCACCCCCUUAGCCCUAAAUCCUGCCCUCUCCCCUCUUUCCUUCUUCUCUCUUGUUAUGAUGUCGUACGCGGGUAUGGCAUGUACGUCAUGUUGGGGGCAUCUUUGCGGAAUCCCUGACAGCACCCAGUGAUGCGCGGACCUACCUACCUCCGCACGUACCCCCCCACCUGAGCAGCC
RNAcentral lists this long non-coding RNA (51588 nucleotides) under Volvox carteri. RNAcentral describes it as "long non-coding RNA (VCAR_LNC003150)". The stretch from base 5143 to 5256 matches the Rfam family "U2 spliceosomal RNA". The record is from RNAcentral. Lineage: Eukaryota; Viridiplantae; Chlorophyta; Chlorophyceae; Chlamydomonadales; Volvocaceae.